Molecule: long non-coding RNA, 48767 nt
Filed under: Ananas comosus (pineapple)
Lineage: Eukaryota; Viridiplantae; Streptophyta; Magnoliopsida; Poales; Bromeliaceae
Description: long non-coding RNA (ACOM_LNC017221)
Source: RNAcentral
UGGGUGUAGAAGGAUCCUUGACCUUUCUCAUCAAAUGUCUUUGCUUGGGAUUGAAAUCCUUUAUUUUCGAUCUGUUGUGGGAGUGUUGCUUGUUGGUUUUCUUGGUCCUGCAAUACCUUUCUUGGAUGGAGAGAAUCAAUCUCCUUUUUUUUCAUGGAGAUAUAUCCUCCUUUUCCAUCAAGGGGAGUCGCUUUUUUGCUUUUAUCAACAUCUCAGUGUGCUGAUAUUACUUUUAUCAACAUCUCAGUGCUGAUAUUAAGAAAAGUGAAAAGAGCACUUUGUCAAAAAUGGACACAGAGCUCUUGGGGAAUAUUUGGCACCCAUGGCUUGGGACCCUUUUCAGGCUUUUAGUCCCGUGUCAGUAACCCUAUGCGUGGAUGGAUUGGAGUUGGAAUAUCUAAUCAUGUUCAAUCAUUUUAUCCCCCUCACAUGGUGCUAAUCCCAUUAGUGGAAUUGGCAUUACGGCAGAUUGGAGAAAACCUGCCAAAGGUUCCCCUCCUCCCACCACCACCGAGCUCUUGUCCUGAGAGACCUAAUCUCACUUCAGUUCUUUUGAAUUCCUGUAGUUGUUGGAUUCAGAUUUGAGUGUGAAGGAGCUCAAUAUCAAGGAAGGAAGCAGCAGUGGCCUCCACUGCUAAUGUUUUUUUCUGUAGCACGAGAAAGAAAGGAUUUGAGCUGACUUCUUUGACUUUUCGCCAAUUGUUUUAUCUUUUGAACGAUAUAUUUAUGAGCUGGAUUUCCUAAGCAAUUUUGUGGCAUAUCCUAUUCUAGUGGCCAAACAUGCCUUUGGAAAGAAAACUCUUCAUUGAAUUCAGAAUUCGACGAUGUUCAUGGUGUGCUCUCUUGCCCGUUCCUUCCCAAUGAAUUGAUUUGGCCUUGAUUUCAUUUAUUAGGACCUGUUUGCACUCUAAUUCUUAUCUUAACUUAUCAAGAGAAUGCGUUGCCUAAAAUCUUCUUCUCUUGGAAGGAUAGGACUUAGUAAACCUGAACCUCCUCUUAAAAUGCAUCACUAUUUUAAUGUAUAGUUCAAUCUCAUGCACAUAGAAGUAAGAUAGGGUGUCUCUUGUUGUAGCUCAAGCCAUUGAAGUGAUAAUUUGGUAGUUAUGAACGAAGAAAUAUAGUCCUAAACAUACUGGAGAAGCCAAAACUGAGACCUGUUGCAGUAGUUGGUUGAUCGGCUGUUAAUUUUCUGGAUUAGAUAAGCGUUAUGGCUUUCUGUAUUGUUUCAGUUUGUUGUGUGUUCUUUCAGUUCUGGCUUGUCUUCCAUAAGUAGAACAGUUUCUGUUUAGCUUGAUUUAAGGAGCUCUUUCUGUUCAAGUAGUAAAAGCUAGGUUUUUGAGGGCUAAAAUGCUUGCCUUCUGUCUUGACAGGAAGCUGAACUGCGUGUAUGUCCUAAUGGCUGAAUAUAUACAAUUUGAAGCUCCUUCUAUAUGCUUCAGUAAUAACUCAUUGGGUAAUUCAAUGUAAAAUGGGAUGAUAUAAAAGAUUUUUAACUUCCCAAGCAAAUCUACUGAAUUAUAUACUUUAGAAGCCUUAGCUAUGCCAUAUAGGCCAUAAAAUUAUCUAGUUUUCAGUUAAAAGGCCUAACACAUUGUUUUAUGUCUCUGGUUUCUCAUUCUGCACAAAUUCUUUAUUUGCCAUCUCUCUAGCUAUAGCAUAGAGCAGACUGUUAUGAGAGCCCAGGGUGUUGCAAUCAAGAUUUCGUAGUUAGAUCGUUGAUACCCAACUGAAUAACUGACCGAUAUUUAUGAAAAAAAAAUUGAUCAAAGUAGAGCUUAACUCAAGGUGAAACAGUUGGGUGACUAGUUUCUGCUGUUUUAGCAUUAGCCAGUUGAUUGAUUGCUGAUGGAACUCAUAAUUUUUCAAUUCAAGGUUAAACUGAUAUUACACUUUGGCUUGGCUAGUUCAAGAAGAAUGCAUUUACUGGUAAACUAUUAGUGAAAAUGAAGUAUUUAUCGAUUAUGGACUUUACUCAUUUGCUUCAUUUUCUUGUCCUUUCCUAUCCUUUUUUCUCUUCUUUUGCUUUGUCAUUUUGUUCUCUUUCUAUGAUUAUGAAACUUUUCCCUUUUAAUUCUUUGGCUUCUUUCUUCUUUCUAUUUGUCUUCUCUUUCUCUGCUUAUGCAGUGUUCAGAGCCUCUCAUCUGCAUCAUAAAUAUAAAUAAUUAGCUUGAUUUAGGAACCUCUUCUCUUCUUUUGCUUUUUCUCCCUCUACUACUUUCUUUGGCCUUUCUCUGGUUUUUACUGGAAUUGCGAGGAAAAUCUAUUGUAGACGUCAAACAGGGGUUUUAUCCCUUGUCUCAAUUAAGGUCCAACUUUGAUCUGAUUGAAAACUCUCUUUGGUGCGUACUUUUGGUCUGAGACUAGAUCCAGAUGAUAAUUUCUGUUGCAAUUAUUUUGCCGCAGUCUAUUUGGUCAUGACUUCUGAAGAACUGAAGUUUUAUCAAUAAUAUCAAUGCGUAUACACCGCCCUCUCUGGGUUUGUAAUUUUGGAGAUAAUAUACUUCAAUCAUUCCUGCAGUUAAGAGGUGCCUUCAUGUUGAUUUAUCAAUUAUAUUAGGAAAAAGAGGAGUCAAAUUUGAACUUUAACUGCAUCAGAGAUUCAAUUGAGAUGUGUAAAGAAUUAAAUUUUCAAGGAGAGCUGCAGAGGAAGACGUAGGAGAUAGAUAAGAUGGAUAGGGAUAACUAAUAAAAAGUCCUUUAGGUAAAACUAUAAUCUAUCAACUUCAGCUCUUUCAAUGCCUCGAUUUCCCUCCCUUUUGAUUUACCAUACAAAACGUUUUCCUUUGGAACUUCUCUAGCCUGAAGCUUAUUGCAGCUGACUAGGAUUUUCUCCAAAAAUUGCCUAUCUUGUCUAAAGAAUUCCUACUAGGCCUUAAUUAAUAUCCUUUUAGGGUCUAUUGAGAACUUCAGCCUACACUAUUCAACCAAAAUAUUUGACGAAAGAUGGGAAAACCUAUGUGAUGGUGAAGAAUUGUCUGGAUUAUUUAUUAUUAGUUCCAAUAUUCUUGGAUUUGGAAAGUCUGCCUGGUAGUGAAAUAGAAACUAUAUGAGUCAUUGCUUUCUGAAGAUAUAUCAUUCUUGUAUCAUAUGGACCUCUCACAGGCCUUCACCUAUUCAGUGUAUUACUGUUGAUUAUUGUCCUUUCAAGAGUACAUACGAGGAGAAGGAUGAGGCAAGAUAAUCAGGCUUAGUGUCUGCACUAAAAUCUUUAUGAGCAGUGGUUUGCACUGAUGGCUACAGACACAUUCCGCUUUUCAUUUUUACCACACAAUUGGUUAAUUGGCUUUCGUAUUCUUCUCGUCAAUGUUAGCUACAAAUAUAGGCUACAAAUUUUUACCGUUCGAUGCAUAGAUCAAUUGUGAUAUUGUGACCAAAUCAUGAAAUACUAAAAUCAUUGGGAAUGUGAGUCAGAUUUGAGUAGAUUGAAGUUAGAUGUGAAUAGGGCUGCGAAAUAAAUUACAUUCAAGAAGCAAAGGAUGAUGCGAAAGAAACUAAGGAGACCACUAAAGAGAAAAAUAGAGGAAGAAAGGGGGGAUAGGAAGGCCCUAGGCCCAAGGAAAAUUGCUUUCCAUUGGCGGUAUCCAUCGUGUUAUCAGGAAAUAUUUUUACUCCACUGGACCUUUUUUUAACUGUUUGUAGGUAAUGCUAUUUCCUUCCGGUGUAAUUAACCGACCUCAAGUUUGGGUAUUUGAAUUCUCUUCUGUUGCUCUUCCUCAAAAUACUUCCAAAUCAUAUGAUGAUAUACAUGAGAGGAGUAGAGUGAAAAAUUGAUAUGUGCUCUUGGAUCCAAACCUAUGCACCUACAUUCUGUGACUUUAAUUGAAUGGUAUGAUAUGACUAAUCUGAUGGAUUUUAUGAAUGUGACAGAUUUUUUUUCCAAAAAACCAUGAAAAUGCAAAUGAUAGUUGAGUGUAUUAAGAAGAGUUAAAUCUUGGCGAUGCAUAGGCGUAAGUUAGUGGGUUCAUGGUAAGGCUGUCAACGAGUCGAACACGAGCGAGCUGGGCCCGGCUCAUGUUCGUUAAAAUAUCAAGCGAGCUUGUUAAAAUAUUGAGUUGAAAAAUCCAACUCACGUUCAACUUGUUUAUUAACAAGCCGAACACGAGUUGGCUUGCAAACAAGAAGUUAUAUUGUUAGCCCUACUAGUGGUUGAAAAGUUUAAAAGUAGAAAAUUAGAAUCUUAAUCUAAUAAUUGAAAUUCAUAAAAUAUUGGUCUCUUUACAUUUUGGUUGGCCUAAAAUCCAAAUAGUAGAAAUUUGUAAUAUAUAUAUAUAUAUAUAUAGAGAGAGAGAGAGAGAGAGAGAGAGAGAGAGGUCUUAUAUGCUAUUAGGAGCAUAGAGACCUCCGUGUUCCCAAGCCGUUUUCGAUGAUGGGACUUUUGAAUCGACGAUCGACUCCAUUAGACUUGAUCUAGCGUAUUUGAAGCAUUUAGAAAAUAAUUUUUGUGGAUUUUUAAUAUUAUUCACCUAGUGAUCGAAAGAAUUCAAAAUCAACAAUUUUUAAUGGUUGAUGUAUGCCGUUUGCAAGUUUAAUGGUGUAGAAGUAUUCAAAUCAGAUGAAAUUUUGAUAGAAAAUUCUUUAUACUAUCUACAACAAGAUCAAUAUCUCUGAUCGAAACUUUUAAUGCUACAUUAUGACUUUUUGUUUGAUUUUUAUUUUCAACUGUUGAUUUUGAGUCCUUUUGAUCACUAGGUAAAUGAUAUUGAAAAAGCGCAAAAUUUAUUUUCUAGAUAGUUUAAAUACGUUACAUCAAGUCUAACGGAGUUGAUCGUCGAUUUGAAAGUUACGUCAUGGAAAACGACUUAGGAGUACGAAGGCCUCCGUGCUCCUGAUAGCACACAAGACCUACUCUCUCUCUCUCUCUCUCUCUCUCUCUCUCGCUCGCUCGCUCCCUCUCUCUCUCUCUCUCUAUAUAUAUAGUCCGGCUACUAUAGUUUUAUGAGUACGAUCACCCUUGUACUCAUAAGUCGUUUUCGAUGAUAGAGCUUCCGAAUCGACGAUCCAUACUGUUAAACGUUAUCUAGAGCAUUUAAAUUUUCUAGAAAUCAAAUUUUAUAAUUUUUCGACAUCAUUACCUUACGAUUAGAAGGCUACAAAAUUGAUAAUUUUUAACAGCUGGUAUGGGAUAUUUGCUAGUUUAACGGUGUAAAAGAAUCGGAACCGAUUGAAUUUUUGAUAGAAAAUUCUAUUCACUACCUAGAUAAAGAUCAGUAACUCCAAUCUGAAAUUGAAGGAUCUGAUCAUCCAUUUUUAGGACGUCAUUCGAUUUUGGCCGUUCAUUUUAUGCCUGCUUGAUGGACUUUAUUAUGAUUUCGAAAAAUUAUGAAAUUUAUUUUCUAGAAGUUUCAAAUACUCUUAGAUCAUAUCUAACGGAGUGAAUCGUCGAUUUGGAAGCCCAUCAUCGAAAACAACUUAUGAGUACGAAGUGUUCUAUACUCAUAAGAGUAUAGUAGCCCUACUCUCUCUCUCUCUCUCUCUCUCUCUCUCUCUCUCUCUCUCUAUAUAUAUAUAUAUAUAUAUAUAUAUAUAUAAUAUGUGAGCUAUAUCGAGCUGAACACAAGCGAUCUAACUCUAGCUCAUGUUCUCGGCUCGUUAAGGUUUUGAGGUGAAAAAAUUAGUUCGUGUUCAGCUCGCUUAUUAAAUAAGCGAUCUAUCUCGACCUUAUUUUGAGCUGAACACGAGCUGGCUCGUGAACAAUGAGCUGAAUUGUGAGCCCUAGUUCGUGGUGACUUACAAAGUGUUUGAAGACAUGAUUAUAUUUUGGUUUCAUAUAUAAAACCAUUUAAUAUUUAGUUAUUUAAAAUUUAAGCUGUAAAAGUAGAUAUCAAUAAUAACUAAAUCAAUUCUUACAUUGCGCUUCUAUAUAAACGUCCGCAGCGUUGUGCAUCAAAUGGUAACUGAAUCUGGAUGUAAAAAUCUUGAUUAAAAAUACCUUUCGAAUACUAAAUCCAAGAUUUUAAUGUCGAUCAUGAGCCCAAGAUUGUCUUGUGUUUUAAAUUUGAGAUCAAACUGAUAUCAAAUGAAUCAAUUUGUAUUAAUAUUUAAUUUUAUGUAAAUAGAAGGACUAGUGUAAAAACUGCUCUUCCUAUGCUUGACAGAUGGGCCCUCAAUGGAGGCCUAUCUUAUCCUACAUGUUGACAUGGUUUGGGCCUCUCCUAUGUAAAAGGGGUUUAUUCCCUUUCAUUCUCUCUACCUCUCUCUUACCGUAGGACGAGAUAGGUUGGAGGAGAAAAAUAUUAUUUGCACCAAGUGUAGAAAACUUAUGCAACAAUAUAGGUGAGUUUGAUAUAUAUUUUAAUUUUCAUGAUCAUUAGGGCUCAUUUGGACUUGAUUCAUUCCAACAAGCUCAUUGGAUUUAUUGUUAUGUCUGUUGGACCAGACUGUAAUUUAAAAGAAUUGUUAGACAUAAAUGUAAAUGAAUUGGGCAAAAUUGCGGGAGAGUAGUAGGGAAUUUUCUCUCCUUUUUAUAAUUUCUGAUGUUUGAUUUUUUUCAGUUUUUAUAUACCAUAUAAAAUAAAAAUAUACUAAAAUAUAUUAAUAUAUAAAAUAUGGGUAAAAAUAUAUGUAAACUCCAUCAACUAAACGAUAUUAGCAAAUAACAUUAUUUUAUUAUUGACAAAAAUUAUACUAGUUUUCUUUAUUUGUUUCUUACAUAAAAUAAUAAUUGAAGUGAUAGGUUAAUAUAUAUCAUUAGGUCCAAAUCUGUAGGCUUAAAAAUCACCAUUACUGUUCUUUGCAGUGCGGUGUGACUGAUUUGGUGGUUCUUAUAAAAAUGAUAAAUUCAUGGAGAAAUCAUGAAAAUGCAAUAUGUCGAUUGGUGUACCCAGAAUAGUUAGGUCUCGGGGAGUAGACGCAUAGGCUCGAGUAAGUGGGCUCAUUGUGACCUUUAGAGUGCUUGAGAGCAUACAUAUAUUUUUUUUAAAAUAAUAUUUUUAAAUAUUAAAUAUUUAACGAUUAAGUUCUAAAAUUAAAUAUUAAUAAUAACUAAAUCAAUUGAUUCUUACAUUAUGUUUUUAUGUAAGUGUCUGCAGCACUGCGCAGGUUAUUGUCACUAGUUGACUAUGAUUAGUCAUAUAGUCCCUUAUUACUCUGUAAGACUGUAACAUGCAUCUUUUGUUCGAUAGUGUUCCUGUAAUUAUAGUACAUUUGUUAUCCCAAUGUUGGAUUGUAGUAGCAGGUCAAAGAGAGAUAUCCUGUGGUUAGAGGUCGUUGGUGCCUUGCUAGUUCUGUCUAUAGCUUUUGAGAUGUCUUGUUUAAGCAUAGCUUUUCAAAGAAGCCUUUGCAGGCUCUCUGAAAUUAAUACUCUUGGUGAAGCUAGAAAUAAAAUGUUCAAAUUGGAUCUUUUGUUUUGGAUCUUGAAGCGUCUUUUUUCCUCCUGUUCUGACCAAAAUUUUUAGACUUAUGUUGCUCGAAAUCCUAGCUUUUGCUUCUUAAAUAGUCGAGCUGUUCCAGAAAAUGGAUCAUACAGGCCCUUGAAGUUUAAUUGCUGUAGAUUAAGGAGAAGAGAUAAGUUACAAGUAGAUUCAAUGGAGAGAGAUAACUUACUGUUUUGAAGGAUUGUAGUGCUGAUCAUUUUUAUUUAUUUUCUGGUUGUGGUUCAUUUAGUUGACAACACCAUGAAAAGCUGAGGGCUAUACAUUGCUUAUGAUUCCUAGACAAGGUAAGAUUAGAUUAUCUGUCAGUUAGCAGAUUCUUAUGGUUGCUAGGCUUUUUUAGUUUUCUUUUUUCUGUGAUACAAAGUUAUGGGUGCUAACAUCAGCAUAGCUUCUUCCUUUGCAUUGGCAACAACCAUUAUAUGAAGUUAUUUGGUUUUGACAACAACUGGACGACUACUCGGCAAGUUCUAAAUUAUCUGUGGGGCCGUUCACUCCUGGGCAUAUCAACAAGUGUGGUACUUUCCGCUUUUGGAGUAGGGUUGUGCAUGUUAGCUAUUAUUUAUUAUGUGGUUUAGGUUUGACUAAAAUAGCGCAUUCUAUAUGAUCUUACAUGAUUUUACAGAUUCAUUUUUUAGGUUGUUUGGGUACAUACUGUUUAGAGGAGAGAGCGGUGGUGGAUCAUCGGCCAUGGGGAAAUGAGGGGUGGCGGAGGAGGGAGUGGCGGAGCAAGGAGGCCGGCAAGAGGGGUCGACGGAGGUGGCGCUAAGUUUGAGGGGAAAAGGGAGAGAUAGAUAGCAGAUAAGGUUGCAGUUGGGGGGUUGAGGUUGUGUUAAGGCCCUAAAAAUGGAGAAAACUAUUUUCAGAGGUUUGAGUGGAUUUUAUUUUAGGUUAACUAUAUGUUUUAGGUGUUCUUUUGAAGUAUUCGAACAUUUUAUAGCAAAAUUUUCUCAAGAGUAUAGUUAUACUAUGUUCUAUGAUGCAUCCACAUGUUUGUAAAGAAUAGUUAGGUUCUGUUUGGAUGUAUCAUAAAAGAGAGUAUAGUAUAACUAUACUAUGCUCCCAGGAAAAGUUUUGCUAUGAGGUGUUUAGAUGCUUCAAAUAAAAGGCUUGAAGAAAAAAAAUAUAGUUAACAUGGGGGCUAAAAAUAGUGUAGUUAAAAUCCAAACCUUGAAAAAAAAAUUUCUUCUGGCCAUCGAGCCUUAGUCCCGCUCCCCUAUUUUUCUCUCCUUUCACUCCCCCUUCUCCCCCAAUCCCCCGAACCCACCCGCUCCUGCUCUCUGAUCCUCCCUACCACUUUGCACCUGCCGUCAUUUGUUAAUUUUUUUUAAUUAGUUAUUUGAUCUCUGUUUGUUAAUUUUUAGUUAGGAAUUUUUAUAAGUAAUGUUUUGAUUAGAAAUAAAUUAGUCUAAAUGUAGUUCAAUUUGAUUUAGUUUAGUUAGUUAUUUUGAUCUCUAAUUGCUUAGCAAAUAUAAUAUUUUUAUUAGUUAUUUUAUCAAAUUUGACAGCAUUACUUUCAAAUUUUGCACUUGGCAUCCAAUAGAGAUAAAAACAGAGUAUAGUAUUCCUGUAGGAUUCCAUGGAAUUCCUGAUUUAAUUAGCAAAACCGCAUAAAAUAAACUAGAGUUUUUUAAACAAGCUAUCCAAACGUGGCCUAAAUCUAUAUGGGUAUAUCAGAAUGUAAUCCAAGAUGACGUUGAUGAGUUAAUUUUGUAUAUCUGAUAGCUAUUAAGUAGAUUUGAUUUUGAACUUUCUGACAAAUUUUGAAAGCUAAUCUAUUAUGGUAAAGUAGCUGUCACGUGUACAAAACUGACUUAUCAAUUUUAUUUUGGAGUCACCUUUUAAAAUACUCUUAGCUUUACUUGUAAAAGUUUGUUUGGCUCUCCAUUAGUUAGCAGGACGUCGUCAUAUUCAAUUGUGUCUAAAUCCUUAGUUACUUUCUCCCCUUCCGUUUUUGUUCCCUUUGUUUUUGUUUUUUUGUUUUUUGUUUUUUGUUUUUUGUUUUUUUUUUCGUUCGUGCUUUUUGAAUUCCAAUCCAAUAUGUUGUAACCCAUACCUACUGUUGUCUUGAAAACUGUCCCAUCUCACCCUAUAAAUAAAUUCAAAAGAAUAUGUGAUGUUAUGUGCUUUCCUAUGUGCUCUAUAUCAAUACAUUACGUGUAGAAUAAUGGCAGGAACUUUCUGAUUCAUAGACUUCUUAAUUUAUGUAAUACUGACACGUUUAUGAAAAUUUGGCCGGCAAGAUUGCACUGUCCAGUUUUACAUUGUCAAUACUAAGCAAUUUAAAUUGUGUUACACUGUUGCACCAUUUAUUUUUCAUAUUUGAACGGAAUACAUAUUUCUGCACAUUCCUACUGCAAAAGUACUUGAUGCUACUGCAAAUUUUGGUUGAAGUACACUUCUGUGUUUUUUCCCUUAUUUUCACGCCGUGACAAGCUGGGGGUACCUUAGGAGCAGUUAACUCUCAUCUUAACUCUCAUCUUUUGUUAUCAUAAUAAACACUAUGUUUAUAGGCAGUUGUGCUCUCCACUUCUGGUGGGAAUAGAUACUGUUUAUCUUCUUUGUUGGGAUAAAGGGAAUGUAUGGCCGCAUAUCGGAGGCGGUACCUUUCCAUUUGAAUUCUCCUCUAUAUGGAAAGGAGGGACCCUCAACCAUCGUUUGUUUCUCCUUACACUUUAUAAGUUCGUUCUUCUUUGCUGUCUUUUUUGGGUUUUCAUUGUACUCUAAUUAUUACAUAUUUCAUCACCGAGCUUAAGUUGUUGUACCACUUUAGUCAUCUAUCAACUGAUUCUAUGUCAACUAAUGGAUAUUCUGAAGGAUGAAAAUGUGGCAAGAAUUUAUGCAUGCUUGUUGAAGGUGUGGUAAAAAACAGAUGAAAGUUGAGCAUGCCCAAAAAAUUCAGGCUUGUUAAGUGUAUUUUUAUCCCUAGCUAGUGUUCUUGGGAAUGUAAGUUCAAAAUGAUGUAGCAAUCUGCGUCUUUAGAUCUUUUGUUUUCUUAUCAUUAGCAUUAUUGUUCCUGGAGGAGGUCCGUUGAGGUAACAUUGGACUUCUUAUUUUUAUGGGGUCCUUAUGCAGCACUUUUCGCCAAUAUUAUUAUUCUUUUGUUGUUUCUUUGGAGAAUUACGGGUUUUCUAAUCAAAACAGACAAUAGAAAUCAUAAUGUUCAUCCCUUUAUGCUUUUCUUUACGAACAGAAACGUAAGCAAGUGUAAUUGAUGUUCUACUCAAAUUUUUGGAAAUAAAAUGUGAAGCAUUAAGGAAAUCAUAUCUAUGUUCCUUGUUAUUAAGUAAAUUAUUAUUAUUCUUUUCUCACAAACUGAUCAUUCGUUACGAAAACUAAAAGAAAUUCACUUUUCUCUUUGGUUGAUGCAUGGCGACUUCUUGGGGAUCAAUUUUUUUUUUUUUUUUUUUGGGCCAAACGAAUGCUUAGCUUUGUAAUUUUAUAGCAUUUAAGGAGAGAUUGGAAGUGCUUAAUUUUGAUACUUUGGUAGUGUAAUAAGGAGUGGCUUUACUUAUGUAUUUCUAUACUAGCCUAAGCCACUGCUAGUUCUACAUGUUUCCCAAUGGUACCAAGUAGAAUUCUGAUUGCAUUCUAAGCCUUUGUGGAUCAAUAUCAUUAACACCCUGUUUGGCUGCCCCAUUGUCUACAAGUUUAAAGAUUUUUUUUUUCUUUUUUUGCCUAAAUUGGGGAAAACUUUUUGUAAUUAUUUACAUUUUUUCUGACUUUUAAAAUUUAUAGCCUCCUUAAAAUUGCAGAAAUCGUUUUAGGAGGGUACGAUGUUAAUGGAGAGAAUGGAGAGGGCAAAAUAUUUAAAUUGCACCUUUUAUAUAAGAAAAAAAUAAUUCUUUAAUGUAUUUAUGUUAUUUUGAAGAGUAGUUUUUAUAUAAAUUAUAUGAAAUGGAUGUAAUAGUGAUGAAAUUCUUAAGGAGGUUAAAUGCAGCAAUUUGAAAUGUUAAGAUGGUAAAAAAAAUUAUGGUUUUUAAAAGUUAGGAAGGAAAGUUAAAAAAAAAAAAAAGAAAAAAAAAGAGUAUUUUUAAGGAAGCCUUUUGCAAUAUGGUCUUGAUCAUUCAAUUCAUUCGGAAUGAUUUGAUGCGGUUUUUCGUAAUACAAUUUGAGUGUCAUUCAAAUCCGAUGGUUUUACUUUGGAUUUGGGGAGGAUUUAUUUAUUUUAUUAUUAGUUAUACCUUAUCAAUAAUGUUGAAAAUACUCCUUCGUAAAUUAAUCAUAAUUUUACAGUAUCUUUCUUGCUAUGCAACUGAGGAUGGAAUUAACAAGAGUCGUUGUACCAAAAUGAUUUCUCAUUUUGUUUUUACAAAAUAACAAAAUAGAAUAGAUUUUAGUGGGAAUUCUGAUUGAAAUCAACAAAGAAUUUUAUAGAUAAAUGCAUUUAAAUGAUUUUCUUGCAGUUAAAUUAAAAUUUAUUUAAAUUUGGUGCCAAACUUAGUGAAAAGCAAUUCGUUCCCCUGCCCAAGUGAUUUUUUUUUUUAAAUUUCGCAUCACGCAUGGUCAAUAUAGGAUCAACACACCAUUAUACACUUUUGGAUAUUUAACUAAAUUGGACUUCCAAAGAAAAUGGCUUCAUCCUCUAACGAUCCACCUCCUUUCCCCUCCCCUCCUCCCAUCCCACCUGCUAAGCCACCAGAUUUAAGUGAAUCUCAGCGAUCAAACCCAACCUCCUGGGCUCAACUAUUCAGCAGACAAAAUACUUCCACUUCACCCUGCUCCUUGCAUCAGUUGCAACGUAUUCAGUCCUCUACGUCCGAUGAAGUUUUCAUUUCCCCUGAACUACUAUCGAAAAGCCGCUUGGAAUGGAGCUUCAGCCUAAUUGGCAAGUUUCUCGGCAAACCACCUCCGCUUAUGAGCCUUCGGCGAGACGUCGCCCUUAAAUGGAACCCAAAAGGUGCCCUUCAGGUGGUUGAUAUGGCUGCUGGAUUUUUUGUCUUCAAGUUCUCAGAGGAGGAGGACAUGAUGAAGGUGAUCACUGGCGAUCCGUGGUCAAUUAAAGGCCUUCCCCUUAAUCUCAUUCAUUGGCGCCCCAACUUUCAACCUCUAUUAGAGGAGAUUAGCUUUGCCCGUGUCUGGAUCCACCUCUUAGGAAUCCCGUGUUAGAAACUUUAUAAGAAACUAGAUCGUACCUUCUGCCAUGAUUUCGAUUUCUGUACCCGAUUUGUAAGCGGUGAUUCUUUCUCGUGGUUCGUCCUCGUUUGUGAUCUGCAAGAAGACGGGACGUUUCGAGUCUAAUUCCCUUAUCCCCGGAGAUGGAGCCGUCACAGACAAUUGGAUUAGGGUUAGACCGGGACUCCCGUAUGUUACAUAUUUAUAUAUAACUUAAUGUAAGGAUGUUAAAUCACGUCCGUCCAUCAAGGACGUGUCCAGAUACAUCCUAACCGUAAGAUCUAAAAUAUCUUUAUAGAUCGACUUAAAUAGAUUGACCGUAUCUUUAUGGAUCGCCUUGAAUAUAUCACGUGGGCCACAUCCAACAUCCCGAACGAGUAUUGGGAUAGAGAUAUCUUGAUUCAGAUUGCUUCCCAUUUUGGUAAACCUCUCAAGAUUGAUGAAUGCAUCUUAAAUAGGGAAAGAGGGCGCUAUGCGUGUGUCUGCGUUGAGCUUGAUCUUAACCAACUGCUGAAACAGGGUACCUGGGUGAAAACUAUCGAAGGGCGCUACUAUCAAUCCGUUGCCUAUGAAAACCUUCCGGCAAUGUGUUUCCACUAUGGGAAAAUCGGGCACCGCCUUGGUGAUUGCCCUCUUUCGUCAACGACCACUACUGAUGAAGGCAAUUCCACUACUCACUCCAAUUCUAAAACCAGUCAACCCCCUUAUACACAAGUGCACCCUUCGAAUGCUGAUACUCCAUUAUUUGGACCAUGGAUUCGCGUUGAACGCCGCCGCAGUCGCCGGUGUGCAAUUCCCACCCACACGGUUAGUGGCUCACUUGAUAGAUCACCGACGAUGCCUUCUGCCGGGCCCGACGCCAACCCAGUCGACCAUCGACAUCAAGCCGUUGCUCCUCAACUAGCCAUCCAACGGUCCAGAAGCAAGAGUGAGGCCUUUCUGUCUAAUCCGUCUGGGACAAUCCCUUAGGCCAUUAUGGCUUCAAACACUGUGAAAAGUUGCAAUCCCAGCCCACGUGAUGGCUCAACCUCCAAGAAAAGCCUUCCCUGUACUACCCAUCUUUUGCUUGCCCCACAAGACACUCAUUUACCAUCAGAUCAUGAUAUGAUGAUGGAUGAAACCCCUACCAAUCCUAUUGCUUGUGUUACUAGCCCUCCACUUAGUUUAAAUGCCCCGAACAAUGACAUUGACAUGUUACAUAUACCCAAUCCUUCAAACCCAUCAGAUAACCCAGGGAGGAAGCCAGAAAUUAAGAUUCGGGGAGGCCAAGAUUUAGAUUUGCUAGGAAAAAAAUUCGACCUUGGAUAGUAAAAAAAAAAAAAAAAUUGUCAAAUUCACUGUUAACGAUAAUAUGCUUAAAGAGGAACAAGACCGUAAGAGUAAGGAAAAUGACCAAAAAAUUUUUUUAAAAAAUUGAGACACAAAUUUUAUUAAAAAAAUAAUUUGGCCCCCUAAAAUUAAAAUUUAUAAUAUUUUAAUUUUUAUUAUAAAGUACUUAUAUGUAAUUUUAAAAAAUUUAGGAGGGGCCAUGGCCAUUGUAGGGCCCUCUAUGGCUCCGCCCCUGAGAUAACCCAACUACAAAUCCUCCUAAACCUUUCUCUUUUCCUCUUCUCUCCUCUCAGACCACCUAUACUAACCUAGCAGCCCAAAUUGAGCAAGUUCUCUCUUCGCUCGCUCGCUCUAGGGAAGAAACGCAAGACUUGCGAAGCCAGGAAAUCUUACAAGAUGAUCCAGACCUUCCUACUCCUUCACUGUUGCGAAGGUGCAACUCUGGAAGGCGGGUUAAGCUUGCCCACGAGCUUUCACGCUCGUCACUUGCUGCUAAAUCUAAUCUUCGACCCAAAGUCUCGGCUUUUAGAAGGGCCAAUGAUGCUAGGGCUUUAAUUGAGCUAAUUACUGCUGCGGCUAAUGCUGAGCCUCCCUCAUGCUCUACAACUUCUUAAUGAAUUUGAUCGCUUGGAAUUGCCGUGGACUAUCCAAGAACUCCACCAUGGAUAGAUGUAGGGAGUUUAUUCGUAAUCAUAACUCUUUUCUUAUCCUUCUUUUUGAGACUAGAUCAAGCACUAUCUCUGGUCCUAAUUUUGCUCGCAGAUUGGGCUAUCAUUGGCGAUCCUCCGAAAUUUCGAGCUUGGGCUUCUCAGGUGGGAUUCUGCUGCUUUGGAACUCUAACAAGGUGCAAGUUACUACUUUUAUCCACUCGAGACAGGCAAUAGAUGCAGUUAUUUCCAUUGAUGGGUUUUUUCCCUGGAUCUUAUCUGGUGUGUAUGCUAGUCCUUCUUAUCUUAUUCGCAAAUCUCUUUGGACCGAGCUUGCUUCUCUUGUUAGUAUUAAUGCACCUCAUUUUAUUGUGGGUGAUCUCAAUGUCACUCUCAGUAAAGAAGAUAAGCUUGGGGGCAAGCCUUUUGCUAUUAAUCAUGGUAUUCGUGAUUUUCGAAAUUUUGUGGACCAACUUUCCUAUGCUGAUUUGGGCUUCUCCGGGCCUCCAUUUUCUUGGUGCAAUAAUAGACAAGGCCUCAGGCAUGUUUGUGCUCGCAUUGACCGUGCUCUGGGAAACCACCCCUGGAUGCUUCUCUACCCUGAUUGUCUCGUUAGACAUUUGCCGCGCAUGGGCUCCGACCACUCACCCCUGCUUACCUCUUUAACUCGCCUGCACCAUAUAGGGAAGAAGCCUUUUAGAUUUAAACAUUUCUGGUUUGAUUAUGACGAAGUCACCUCUAUUGUUGCUAACUCCUAGACCCUAUAUAGUUACCCUAACUCUUUAUCCAAUUUCCAUCGCAAUCUUACUGCAAUUAGAUGUAAUGUUUCCUUGUGGAAUAGACAUAGCCUUGGCAAACUUGAGAAUCGUAUUGAUUGUGUUUGUGACCGUAAUCACAUCCUUGAGGCUAAGGAUUGUGAGCGUUCUUUAAGUCCUGAGGAUUCUGUCAACCUCUCUAUUGCCUAUAAGGAACAUCAGGCCCUCCUUCGCCAACUCGACACUAAAUGGCGUUCUAAAAGUCGCAUUAAUUGGGUGAAUGACGGAGAUAGAAACACCCGCUUUUUUCAUCUUACUGCCCUGCUUAGGCGUCGAAGAAAUAGUAUUCACUUUGUGAUUAAUGAAAAUGGCAUCAGGGUGGAUUCCUAUGAUCAGAUCUCUAACGCCUUUAUUAAUUUUUGUUCUGACUUGUGGUCGCAUCCUUCAUCUAUCAAUACUGCCCAGUUUUGAUGGCCUGCUCUUCCCGGUCUCUCUUCUGGGUAUCAUGAUGAGCUUCUUAAAACUUUCACUGAUGAGGAGAUUCAUUUUCACUGAUGAGGAGAUUCAUUCCACCCUUCUUUCUAUGGGCCGUGGUAAGGCUCCUGGGCCUGAUGGUUUUCACACCGAAUUUUAUAUCAAGUAUUGGGAUAUUCUAAGUCACGACCUAUGCUUGGCUUUGAGAUAUUUUCAAUAUGAGAGUAGCUUGCCGCACCCAUGGGGCCAAUCAUUCAUCACUCUUAUACCUAAGAAGCCUAAUCCUUUCCGUGUUUUCGAUUUUAGGCCCAUAUCUCUUUGUAAUGUUUGCUACCGCCUUCUUGCCAAGCUUUUAGUCAACCGCAUGAAACCUUUACUCCCAAAUCUCAUUAGCCCUAAGUAGUCGACUUUUGUUUCUGGCAGGUCUAUUUCUACCAAUACUUGGAUGGCUCAGGAAAUCAUCCACAUGCUUCAGACUAAGAAAACCGAUACUCCUUACAUGCUUAUCAAAAUUGACAUAGAAAAGGCCUUCGAUCGCUUGAGUUGGGCGGCUAUCCUUAAAGUUCUUUCUCUUAUGAAUUUUCCUCUGUUAUGGAUUAAUUGGAUUAAGGCUUGCAUCACCAGCCCUUCAUUUUCUUUCUUACUUAAUGGUCGAGUAUAGAUUGGUUCAAUCCCUACUGUGGCAUUCGCCAAGGUGACCCUUUAUCCCCAUACCUGUUCAUCAUGUGUGCCAAUAUUCUUUCGGCCCUUCUAAACAUUUCUAUGCGUGAUAAUGCUUUGGAUGGCUUCUCGGUGCGCGGCAGUGAUCCUAUCUGCCACCUAAUGUUUGCCGAUGACAUUAUCAUUAUUACCAAAGCCAUUGUUGCUAAUUGUCAAAAAGUCCUUAACAUCUUUGGUACCUAUCAUUCCCUCACUAAUCAGAAGAUUAAUGCUACCAAAUCUGAAUUUUUCCUACCUAUUUGGACCCCCCAAGCUAUUAUCAAUUUGAUCCGUCAAACUCUUGGCUUUAGGCAUGGAUCCUUCCCUUUUCGCUACCUCGGCAUUCCGCUUUCCCCCUUUAAACUUCGUAUUAGUCACUUUAAAGACAUCAUUGACAAGACUAGCUCCAAACUUGCUGGUUGGAAGCGCAACUCUCUCUCACAAGCUGGAAGAAGCACCUUAAUUAACUUUUCCAUCUCUGCUAUGCCUUCCUAUGCGUUGACCAACACUAUCCUUCCUCUUGGUGUUGUUGACCAAAUUUCUAAAAUUUCUCGCUUCUUUUUGUGGGAAAGGCACAAUGCUAGUCAGGGUUUUCAUCUUAAUGCUUGGCACACUAUCACUUCCAAAAAAAUUAAUGGUGGCCUUGGCAUGAGAGAUCUUAGAAGAUCUAGAAUUGCCUUUCUUGGAGUUAAAGCCUUUCACCUUCUUGCUAACAGAGAUACUGCCCUUUCUUAGUUUAUUAACAGAAAUUAUGGUUCUAUCCACCCUUGGACUAUUGCUAAACCUCGGACUAAACAUUCUCCUUAUUAUGCUGCUAUAUCCAACUCCAUCCAUGAUCUGAGGGGUGGUAUCAUCAAGUCCAUUGGCAAUGGCUUUUCUACUCUGAUUUUGCUUGAUCCUUGGAUUGAUUAUAUUCCUCUUGCUUGGAAGCCUACCUAUAUUAAUAUGGACUUUCCUUUUGGUAACAAGAAAGUCAAAUGGCUCAUUCAUCGUCAUUCUUGGAAUCUCAAUCGUCUAAAUGCCUGCUUUGGGGAGCUCCUUAUCCAAUGGAUUAUUACUAUUCCACUCCCUACAUCUAUAUCCCCUGACUCUUGGAUUUGGACCCCUAGACCCAAUAGUAAAAUUUCCUCAAGUUCCGUUUAUAGAUAUCUCUCACCUGACCCUUCUAAUGACUUUCAUUAUUGGCUUGGUUGGAGGACUAUUUGGGAGCUAUCUAUUCCCCCCAAAGUUAAAAUCUUUACUUGGAAAGCUAUGUGGGUUAAGCUCCCAACUAAAUCCUGGUUGCACAUACUCUAUCCGGAUAGUGAUCCUACUUGCCCCCUAUGCAAUCAAGAGAAUGAAACUGUUUCCCACAUCCUCGCUCAUUGUCCUAUAGCCCAAAAUUUCUGGAAUUGCCUAUGCAAUUUGGUGAGCUUUCAUCUACAGCACUUCAACCUUUGGUGCGAGGGUUCCUGGUUAAAUGACGGCCUUUUGCUCGAUAGUGAUGAAAGAAGAUUCCUUCACUCUAUUAUUUUAAAUGGCUUCUGGACCCUUUGGAAGCAUAAAAAUGGGUUUCUCUUUGAGAGAAUAAGAGACUCCAAUCAAGUCUUGGCUCAUCGCACUUUGUCUAGAACUGUCGAAUAUUUUAAGCCUACUUCUCCAAGGCAAUCUAGGAUUAGCCGAACCAUUGAAUGGCAUCCGCCUCCCAGCAGUUGGACUAAGAUUAAUUCUGACGGUUCUUAUAAUCCUACAUAUGGUAUUGGAGGAGCUGGCUUUAUUUUUUGUAAUUCUGAUGGUCAAUUUAUCCUUGCAGGUGCUGGGAGACUUUGUUGUAAUUUAGUUCUUGAUGCCGAAGCCAAAGCCACUUGGUAUGCUCUUACUAAGGCUGUUAAGCGGCAGUUGGACAAUGCAAUUUUGGAGACCGAUUCGAUGUUCCUGGUGAACAUCUUAACGAGGAAAACAGAGAUCCCUUGGAAGCAAAGAUCUAUCUUUACUGACUGUUUCUCACUUUUGCACUCAUUUUGUUCAUUUUGUAUUAGUCACAUCCCUCGCGAAGCUAAUCAGGCAGCUGAUUGGCUUGCGCAUUUUGGUAGAUAUGCUAACUCCUUUACCUUUUGGGAGGAUAGUCAUCCUCUAGAACUGCAAAAGUUUUUGUUACUAGAUGCACCAAACUGCAUUGUUACACAUCCUGUGCUUGCUUAACUUUUAAUAAAAGUCUAUUUCCAAAAAAAAGAAAAGAAAAAUAGAUAUUUAACUAUACAUUUCACUUCCAUGCUUUCUCAUGCUAAAGUAUAAUGAAAAAAAAUAUCGUAUGCAAUAAAUUCUACUAAUAUAAGUCAAUUACAAUAUAUUUUCUAUAGUUUUAUCGGUAAACAAAAAAAAAAAUUUCUAUAUGCUUUUAUUUUAAUUUUAUUAUUUUAUUUUUUAGGGUGUAUUUGUUUUGCCAAAAACUGAAUUUUGGGUUGAAGUGUGCUUUCGGUUAAACUAGAGUUUACAUAAAAAUAACUUCUCUUUAGUUGUUUGUUUUAUUGGCUGUGAAAGUAACGUUUUUUUUAGUUUUAUUAUUUGUUUAGUAGGAAAUAAAUAGCGUAAAAUAAUAUUGCUGUCUUUUAUAUAACUUGAUAAAUAUAAAUUAUAAUGUAAUAAAAAAUAAAAAAUAAUAUAAGUAAUAAAUUAUAUUAUAUAAUAAAAAAACUAUAUAAAUUAAUUAUAAUAUAAUAAAAAAAUCCUUCUUUUGUUUUUUACUAUAUAUAUUUUUCCAGUAUUUUCUUCCUACAAUUGACUUCGUCCUAUCCCGAGGUGAAGUAAAGUUACGGCAUUCUGACAAACUUAAGUUUCGGGCAUAAUAAUUUUAUGGUAAACCAAACACGUUGUUUAUUGUCCGAAAAUUACUUUUUUCAUUCUGUUGCUCCCAAACAAACAAGCCAUUAGCUUUAAAUAAGCUUCAAUACCAAAUUGACUUUAGAGUAAUGGUGACAGAGUGCAUCAGAGAUAGACUACCAUAGCUAUAGGAAGUAGAGAAAGAGAAUAGCAACAACAAAAAAUAAAUGAUGAGAAGAAAAAAAAAAAAAAGUAGAAGAAAAAGAACCCACCAAAUCAUAAUAUACCUCCUCUGCAAAUUUUCGAUCUAAGGGUUCCACUUUGGGUGACCAGAUCGUCUUCACCUCAGCUAGCUUUAAUUGAUUGCCACUGGUUAGAUGUGACCUUCUCGACGGCUUUGAUCUGCACGAGCCUCGACGCUGACCAAGCAGUGGUAGAUGGCUGGAUGGCUGCAUGCUCCACCACGGCCUAUUUCCUUUUUUUUUUUUUUUUUUUUUUUUUUGAGAGAUAGAUAGCACGCUACCCGCUUCGUUUAUUUCAUUUAGAAAUAAACUUAGCUGAAAAUAUGAAUCAACUAGGAUUCGAACUUGGGUCUCAGGUACCAACCAUCAACCACGACCUCUUUCCUUAUUGCAUGCCCAUGGAUUCGAAGCUGAAGCCAAUGCCAAAGCCAAAGCUAAAGUUGAAGUAUCAUUCGUGAUGGGAGAAGAGGCGAGAAGGAGACAGAAAAUGACGAUGAACAAAGCUUGGGCGGUUGAUAGCAGAUCGAGUAGCAUUUAGAUCUAGGCAUGGUAAAUUUAGUACUAAAAACAACAAAGGAGGGUAGCGCAAACAUUGAAACAUUGAUGGAGGAAGCGGCGAUGAGAAGAAGGAAUGACAAAGCGUUGAGUAGAGAAACGGUCGAAAGAAGGGAAAAAGCUAGUAAUAAAAAGAAGGUAGUGCAAGAUAGAGCCCAUACCUAACAAAAAAGGUAGGGCUGUUACAUGGAUAAAUUUUUAGAGAUUAAUAUAGAGUUAUUAUAGAAUAUAUUAUAGAUAAUAAUAAUAAUAAUUAUUAUUAUUAUUACUAAUAAUAAGAAUAAGUUUUAUCAACUCUCUGCUAUCCAGUAUUAUGUCAACAUUGACAUUAUUAUAAAAUUAUUUCUGUAGAUCAAAUUUAUUUAAAAGAUUAAUUAUAAAAUAAAUUAUUUUAAGAUGCCCAAAUGCCAAAAAAAAAGAGAAAAAAAGACCAGUAUAAGUACAGCGCAAACAAAGCGACUUUGAUCGGAGAUUCUAAUGCAGUAUAGUCUUCUCCUAAAAUUUUAUUCUAAAAUUUAUCCAUUAAAUUUUUAUUUGUAAAUAUAGUCUUAUGGUGGAGGAAGAAAGAAAUAUUAGUGAGAGCGGUAAUCACCACAUUGAUUAAAUUUUUUACAGUCAUACAAAAGCAGUGAAUGAUCUACCGUUUUUAAAAAAAGAUAAAUUGUUCGCCGUUUUCUUCCUUUUUCUAUUCUUUUCUAUUAUUUCUACAAUAGUUUUAGGAAAAGUUAUGAGUACGGUGAAUGACGUCUAUAUUAUUUAUUUUUUCAAAAUCUCAAUAUGAUGUGGUACAGUUAUUUUUUAAAAAAAUUAGUUUUAAAAUAAUUGUAAAAAUGGGAAGGAUUAUUAAUAAAAAUAGGGGAAACUUCAAAUACCCUAUGUGAUUUCGCACUUUUUCACUUUAGUACCAUGUGGUUUAAAGUGUAUCAAGUUAGUAUCAUGUGAUUUCGCACUUUCUCAUUUUAGUACCCUUUGGUUUCAAGUGUAUCAAGUUAGUAUUCUGUGGUUUUACACUUUCUCACUUUAGUACCCUGUGGUUUAAUAUUUCAUUAAAUUAUAUUACCCGAAAUGGAUAAUAAAAAGAGAAAAUUGAAACCACAUGGUACUAACUUAAUACAUUUGAAAUCACAGGGUACUAAAGUGAAAAAGUGUGAAAUCAUAUGAUACUAAUUUGAUAUAUGUUAAAUCAUAUGGUAUUAAAGUGAGAAAGUACGAAACUAGGGUAUUUGAAGUUUCCCCUCAAAAAAAUUCACUUCGAUCACCGUCUCACUCUUCAUCGUCUUCUUCGACGCCACUUACCUCUCCUUCCCGAAGAAGAAGAAGAAGAAGAAGAAGAGGAAUAUGGCGCCCAAACCCGACAAUGUCGAAGGUACCAUCUCCUCCUCCUCCUCCUCUUUUUCUCCCCCAUUUUUUGCCCCCCUUAUUUACGAACUUUUUCUCCGAUUUCAUCGUCUCUAACCAAGCUUCUUCGCCUUCGAAUUUGGACCGCAGGAAUCGUUCUCAACUUCGUGAACGAGGUAACCCUAGAUCUGAUUUAAACUAUUUUCUUGUUGUUUUCGAGUUGAGUUUUAUUGGAAAUUAUUCGAGUUCGGGGUUUUGGUCUCGUUGACAAAGCUACAUUUUCUUUCGAUUCAAAACCAGUAGUUUAUGCUCGAGCUCAAUAUCAUGAAGCAAAUGUUUGGUAUCUCCCUCGAGGGGUAUUUGUUUCAGGAGUAAUAUGAACAUUGUGUUAAUCUGGGAAUAGAUAACACUCAAUUAGAUAUGUGCAGUUAUGCUUCUUUGUGAUCCGAGAAUGGUAAUGUUUUCCAUAGAGUAAAGCUGGAACACUUAUAGAAGUAUAUGUGGCUAUUUUGCUUCCACUUUGUUUUGAUGCUUGGCAUCCAAAUCAACGAUUAGCGCUGUGUAACAUGAUCUAGGCUUUUUGAACUUCGUUGAAACUGAAUUUCACAAUUAUACGACAUCGUUUAACUAGUGAUCAAGUGGUCCCAAGGAAUCACUUGAAUACUAGUCAAAUGGUGUUGCAAAAUCACGAAAUUCAGUCUUUAGAAAGUUCAGAUAGCCUAGAUCAUGAUUAAUGGUGCCAAUCACGAUCGUCUAUUCAGAUGCCCCAUUAACGAAAUGAUGCAUUCUAGAAGCAUUCUAGCUUCUCUCUCUCUCUCUCUCUCUCUCUCUCUCUCUCUCUUAUAUUGUUAUGGUGUUUUUUUUUAUUCUCAUCAUGUAUAGUGGAUCUAAGUACUUAGACUCUGACAUGAAAAUUGCAUGUAUGCUAUGAGUUUCACAUAUCUUGUUCAAUUUAGAUGUGCAUCAGGACAUACAGAACAACGUGCUCUAAAAAUGAGUACAAAAUAAUGGUUGUUAAGGAUCAAAUCUUGGGAAUUUGAGGGUAACUUGAUCUAGGAUUCAAGGCCUAUGUUCUCAGCAACUUUGGAGUUGCUAUUUUGUUCAAUAGGACAAGAAAUCCUGCUUGAUUUGGCUGAUGUAACAAGAGUAGUAAUGGAGCAUAUACACUAUCUAGAAAACUGGACCUUGAAUUUUGAGAAAGAGAUAAGCCUCUUAUUGUAAACCAGCAUUUUAGAUUAGACAAGUUAGGGUUUUGAUGUGACAAAUAAGUGGAUUAAAGAGUGAACUAUAUUAUCCUUUUAUUUUUCUUGCACCAGUGCUUUAUCCUAUUUAUUUAUAUAUUAUUUUGCAAUUUUGAUAUCGUAUCUACAACUUGAAUGUUCUCUCUGUAUUAUUUGAAUUGACAGAUAUGUUGAUAAUCAAUUUAUGCUGUUUGGAGCCUAUUUGCACAAAUUUUGUUGCAUUCUCUUUUCUUUUUGGGAUUUUUUUGGUUGACAUUCUCCGUCAUGUUGACGAGUUGCUUAUCAUCAUACACUUCAAUCCUUGAGCAAACUUCACGAAAUAUCUUCUUAGUUAGUCAGCUAAACUUUACUCAAUAGUGGCAUACUGUAAUGUUAGUAUUUGCUUUUAUGGAGUGACUGGUAACUCAUUUUCUUUUCACUUCGUGCAUACCGUUUGUUAUUGUCCUACCUAGAUAGCAGGCUUUUAGAAUAGUAUUUCUAGCUGUAGCUUGUAAGACUCUGUCUUUUGGUAUAGCUAAUGCUUCUUAAUUGGUUUUUUCUUUUUCUUUUUCUAUUUAAGGAUUGAUCCUUAAAUGGUAAGUACAUACCUUCCUUAUAAUUAUUGGUUAGUUUUUCUUCUUUCCUUUGCACAUUAUUGCACCAUCAGUUAUGAUCAGCUGUUAAAUAGUAGUUCUUUGUUCUUCUAAAAAGGUGAUAUAGCACUCCAUUUCUAAGGAUACCUUGAGUAUCAACACGAUUUUCUAUUGAUACUAUAUGUUAGCUUUUUUAUAAUGUCUUUGAAGAAAAGUAUUGGUAAUCUUUUUGCCCAGAAGAUCUGUUUAUUACCACUUGCUGUCAGAGUUACUUAUUUCUGUCGUGGGUUGUGUCUGUCACAAGACCAUAUUGUUAAUCUGAAAAGAAACUUUGCAAUUUGUUGUUUGCUUGCCUUUUGCUUUUUCUCUGCUCUCUUUUGUAUGCCUUAGUCAUUUUUCUCCAUGUUGCAUUAUUAUGUUAUUUACUCCUCUGGAGCUAUUGAUGCCAUAUAUAUGUUGAAUAUUCUAAAGUGAUGGUUGAGUUCUGGAGAAUUCUUAGUGUAUCUUCAAUUAUGUAGCAUCCAAGUUCUUGCAAAUCAUAUUCCCUUUUUUCUGCACCACCUCUUGUGCAGGCUUAUAUCUUUUCUAUUCUUCUUAUCAUCCAUCUAUCAAUAUGCACUAUUUAAGUUGGAGAAACUGAGUCUAAUUUAGUCUUUUCUCUUGCUUUACCUUCUUCUGAUAGAUGGGACUUCCCCAUGGUUCUAACUCUUUAUAUGGAAAGCUAAUUGUGGUUAGAGAGCUCAAACAGGGAAUGAGUUGUUACAUAGGAAUGCGUCAAGGGAAGGGUGUGGGGGUUGUGAAUGAGGAAGAGAGGAAAAAGAAAGAUGAGAAGAAGAAAAGAAAUACAAAUCCAGAGCUUAUGAAUUUUCACCGCAAGACCAUUUCUUAAUACAAAGUAAUCACGCCAUUGUUGAUUUUGGUUUGAUAUUCUCAAAAUCAAUCAACGAAUCCUAACGUUUUCUCCCGUGAUUGCAAGUCUCCCAAUCAGUUAUCUUGUGUUUAUAACUUUAAGAGAUCUUACUUUUUUCUUGUGAGAUGAUAUCUUAUUUCUAGAGCUUUAUUCAAAAACAGAAAGUGAAGUCACAGUGUAAUUACACAAACUUACUGUUAUUUUUUGUUAUGCUUAGUCUAUCUAAUCACCAAAAUAAUAUAACACACUGGUCUUGCUGUGCCAACUUUGAUAUUCAAUGCCAAGUCCUAUUUUUGUAAGAUAGAUAUGUUCUUUAUUCUGAUUAACAAUUGGAUGCUCUUCAGUUGUUUGAUAUACUGUAAGAUUAGGCUGACAACUCAAAAGUAGGACAUCGAAUGUGUUUAUCUUCACUUGCUUAUUAUCCUUCUUAUAAUCCUUCUGUAGUUUAUAAUUGGGAUAAUUGCCUAUAUACCCCUCAAAAGUUCUAAAAUAUAUGAUAUAUCCUUACUUUUUUUUUGUUUCAAAUAUACCCCUCGUAUAUUUCUCAAUUACUCAAAAAUACUCCCGCUGUUAGUACCCAUUAAGUUAUCUCAUGUUAAACCUAGGUUAAAUUUCUACCAGAGUUAAAAAAGUCAAAAUACCUGUUUCGCCCCUAACUUAAGGGCAAACAGGAAAAGUUGGUAACGGUAAAAGGGUAUAUUUGAAAAGGAAGAAGUCAAAAUACCUCUUUUUGCCCUUAAUUUAAGGCAAAUAAGAAAAGUUGGUGACGGUAGAAGGGUAUAUUUGAAAGGGCAAAAUAGUAAUUUUAUAGAAAUAACUGUUGUUCCUAACAGUUCACUAACAGAAUUUAACUUUAGGGGUACAUUUGAAAGGUUGGAACCAAGGUUUAAAGUGCCGUGGCACGGGGGCGUGUCGCUACGUCCUUGGCACGGUACGGCACGGGCACGCUUGCGUGCCGACACGUGGCACGCUUGCAUGCCGACAGAUACGCACGACCUCCUACUGGCACGCUUUGGCACGAAUUUAUUUAAGUUUUUUUGGUUCCAGUAAGCUUUUAUAAUGUUAUUUUGAAAGAUUUAGGCAAGUUAUUAUUAAUUUUUGCUAUGUAUAGCUUAUUAUACUCAUCAAUUAACAUGCAUGUAAGCAUUUUGUAUAUAAAGUACAACUAUACCUGAUGUAGAAUAUAAAUUAAAAUUCUUUUAUUUUUAUUUUUUUUUAUUUGAAAAGUACAACUAUACUUGCUGUAACAAUUGAAAAUUCUUUUGUUUUUAAUUUUUUUAUAAUUUAAAAAAUUAUAACAGAUAAAAUGAUAGAAAAUUUUAUUUUUUCUAAAAAUGUUUCAAAAUCUAUAUAUUGAUUCGAUUAGGAAGUAUAUAAUAACUAGAACAACUAGAAUAGUACCGCAAUUACAUCCAUAUUUUUUUUAUUCUUUUAAAAAAUAUCUAAUCAAAAUUUGUUUAGGAGAUCAAUUUUUGUUCCCCUGAUUCAUCGAAAACUUCGCGGUGCGACAAAUUUUGACAAAAUAAUUUGCGAAGAAAAAAUGGAUGUCUGUGGUGGAAGUGGAGGGCUCUGAUUUAUCAACUAAAAAUUUGCUUUUAUAUUGUUAAAUAAGAAGUUAAAUUAUAAUUUUUAAUUUAACAAAAGAAAAAAGAAAAAGUCAAAAGAAAAAGCCAAAAGGCAAAAAAAAAAAAAGGCAUCAGCCAAAAAGAAAAAAAAAAAGUUGACAAAAAGACAACACAAUGUCAAAAAAAUAAAAGAAAAGUGAACAAAAGGCAAUAUAGAUGGCCGGGCGAAGGCUCUGUAUCCCAGAGAACAAAAAAAAAGAGACAAAACCAAAAAAAAAAAAAGCCAAAAAAACUUAAAAAAAAAAAAAAGCCGGCACGCGGCACAGUGCCGCGGCACAUGGCCGCGUGCCGCUUUGUCUCGAGCGGCACGCGGCUUGUGCCGCGGCACCCAGGGGGGGUCCGAGACCACCCCUGUACCGUGCCCCCUUCUUGGGGGCACGGUACGGCACGCCCCGUGCCGUAAGGCACGGGGCGGCACCUUCAACCUUGGUUGGAACGUUAAAAGGGUAUUUUUAAUAUUUGCCUUCUAGGAGAGGUAAAUAAGAAAGUCGGGAAUCUUGUAGGGGUAUAUAAGCAAUUGCUCCAUAAUAAUUUUGGAAGCAUCAUGAGAAUCUGACUGUAUCUUGUUUUUCCUGGUUAUCAUCGUGAAAUGGUUCAUUAACUUCUUAUGCUGUUCUUUUGCCAGCAAAAUAGGCCUUUAAAUUCUCAAAAUGUCGCUGAUGCAUUGCAAAAGUACAAUCUUAAGAAAACUGGAGUCCAGAAAGCGCUGGAUGCAUUGUGUGAUAGCGGACAAAUUUCCUUCAAAGAGUAUGGUAAGCAGAGGAUCUAUCUUGCUCGGCAAGAUCAAUUCAAGAUACCCAAUGGGCAAGAGCUCGAUCAGAUGAAGAAGGAUAAUAGCAAGCUACAGGAAGAACUUGAAGCUCAAAAGAAAGCCCUAGCGGAGGUUGAGGCUGGUAUGGUUCAGUGCAAUUUGUUCCUUAGUCAUUGUAGAAAAUAUUAUAGACAUAUAUUGCUGAAUCUAUUUGCAUAUGUUUAUCUUUGCACAUAUUGAUUCCUCUCGUUAAAUAACAUUUUCUUGUACAAAACCAACUUCCAGCAUGAAAUAAAAUGUCUUAACUUCCAGCAUGAAAUGGAUUGUUUAACCUUAGAGUUUAGCAUUUAAAUAGAGAACUGCAUUUUCUUGGGAUAUAUAUAUGAAAAUUUAGAUAUUACGUGGUGGACAGUGUAAAUAUAUAAUUCGCAGGGAUAUAUAUGUAAAACUCUGUAAACUACCUAUACAGAAUUGCAAUUCAAUAUAUAACUCUUUCCACAUUCUAGUGCAGAAAUUCGAGCACUCCAAUCAAGCUUGACUUUGGGAGAAAUUCAUGCUAAAGAGGCAAAAUUACGAAGCGAGGUAUGCCUUGAAAAUUACAUUUGAUACUCUUGAUCUGCAACAAGUAUGUGCUUUGAAACCAAUAAUAAAAUUAGAAACAAUUUUAUCAAUCCAGGUCCUGGAAAUGGAAGACAAGCUUGUGAAAUUGCGUAGUGGAGUUGUUUUGGUCAAACCAGAAGAGAAGAAGGUAGUAGAAGAAUCAUAUUCUGAGAAAAUUAAUCAGUGGAGAAAGCGAAAGAGGAUCUUCAAAGAACUAUGGGAUGCGAUAACAGAGAAUUCACCCAAGGAUGUAAAAGAAUUCAAGGUUUUUCAUUUGCAUCAUCGUUCUCUUUCCUUGUAUUCUGUGAGAAAAUGUGCCAGACCCUCUUGAACCACUCAGUUUCUACAGAUGAUCACUCAAACUUGAAAAGAGAAAAAAAAUCGCCCGUUUUACUCGACCAUCUACCUCUGAUUUUACAAUAAUGGCUAUUGGCAUGCGAAUAUCACGUGGAAAUCGAAAGUUUACGUCUUACCCUUCUUUUGAACUGUCGCGGUCGGUGUUGGAGCUGCUGAGUCAUUUGCAGUUUAUGUGAUUGGCAGUUUUUAACUAAUUUGGCAUAUGUAGAUAAAUUUUUUUAUUAGCUUGUUUUAUCAUUUGUAAUUUUUUAAGUUUAAUUUUCCAUAUGUAAAGGUGCAGUGGUUCAGGGGGUUUGAGGCAUUCUUCCCUAGAUUUUUUUUCUGUGUUUCCUGAGCAAACUUUUGGCUAUAAACUGGGGCUUCUUUGUACAUGGUUGUCUUUUCAUUAAGCAAGAUUGUUUUUAUACAUGAACAUCUUUUUUGUUCUUUACCUUCUGAAUAACAGUUAUCUCCUUGCAGGAGGAACUUGGUCUCGAGUAUGAUGAAGAUGUUGGGGUCAGCUUACAAUCCUAUAGUGACCUGUUGAACCUCAGUAAAAAGAGAAAGACAUCACAGUAAUACAGCAUUUUAUUUGCAACUAAAUUUCAACUCAUAUAUGUUCCAAAGUUUUUAAAGGUAGGGUAAGUGUGUAUCUUUUAUGUAUGAUUUAUUCUUCUUUUUUCGUCCACUUCUGUUAGCAAUGAUCGCCGAAUCAUCUAUCAACACUUGAUUCCUUUUAAUUAGCCCCACUUUUCUCUGUACGGUUAGUUCCAUACUCUUAAGCAAUUGACAAGAUUCAGCAUGCAGCAUACAGAAGCAAAUGCAUAUUACUGAUUUUUCUGGAAGAUGAUAGAGCCAUUAAUGGAUUGGUCAGUAGGGCCUAGGCUUCAUCUCAGCCUGAUCCUUGAGAAUGUGGCACGACUGCAGCACUAUACUGCUAAAUCUGUUAAAAAUAUCAAAGUAAUUCCAAUGUCCAAAUAAGUAACAGAUUAAAGAACUAAUAAAAUGAUGUAUAAAAAGAUGACUUGGUAAAAGAAUGUAAUGAUGUCUCUACUAUGUAGGAUCAUAUGUGCCAAAAGUUAGAGAACAAAUAAUCAAAUUUGUAACAUAUUUUAAAUAGCUAGUAAUGUGCAUAGUGUGCCUAAUUAGUCAAACUUAAUUUUAUGCCUGAAGUCAAAUGACUUCUCAAGAAGUCAUGAUGCAUCGUAGUUGACGUGUUAAGAGAGGUUCCUUGUUAAAUGAGGCUCAUAUAGGACAGCAAACAAAGUUUUUUCAUGCCCUUUCAUGCCUCUCAAGUAUUCAUAUGAUUUCAACUAGUUGGUCUUGGCUUUAUUGAACUGUUAGGAUUAUUUUAGUCUGUUACGAUAUAUGUAGCAAUAUUUUUUUAGUAUUAUAUAUUACUACUGUCCAUAUAUAGUAUAGGGGCUAUAUGGUAUUUUGGCUGUAUUAUCGCUGGGACAGGUUGCCUUGUAUACACAUUCUGUACUAUUUAUAUUCAUUAAUGAAACCCUAGAGGGUCAAGCUUUUUUUACUCUUUUUUCAGGACAUCAAAAUAGGAGGUCCUAAGUUCGAAUCCCACCAGGCUCUUAGCGUUAUUUAACUUCCUCCCAUUUAAUUUAAGUCCGCGUCUUUCGCCUACUAAAAAAUCUCGAGCCCAGAUGAGAGGGGAAGUGUUGAAUAUAAAUGUUAAAAAUACCAUUCACUAAUAGCUUUAUCUUUUGGAGAAUGACAGUUGUUUUAUAUAAUUUAGGUCAAGCUCUUUUGCUCUUCUUUCACAAACUUCGAAUUAUUAUUAGUGGCAGGAUAGGGGUCUUGCAUAAUGGUUAUAACUUAUUUCCUGCCAAAUGACGAAGUUCUGUUAGAGGUAUCAUUAUAGGGAACACUGGUUAGGGUGAGUCUAAUUGUAUGAGAUUUCUUUUAAGUUUGCGCGCACACAUCACUGCUAGAUGGUUUACUUUGUUUUUAUGGACAGAGGGAAACUGGUCAAAUGAUUAGCAGUAUGAAUCAGGAGAGUUUAAUAGAAGACUAACGCCUAUUUGCUUCCGUUUGCAAUAUGACCUUGAACGACAUGUCUCUUUAGACAAAAUGUUCUUUCCCAUUUAUUGUUUUCUCUGAUGCACUUUAAGCGCCUUGUUUAUCCUUUUGUUGUUGUUUAUGUAUCGGAUUCUUCAAAAGGUUUUGACGGUUGAGACCAUUGACGUCAGGCUGAUUUUCGAUUUUCUGAAUUGCAGAGCACUUGUUUAGUUAUAGUGUGAUUUUACCAUGCUGAUAAAUCAUCUAUUUCUUGAUGCAUAUGUUUGUCAAUGAUAGUAUGGGGAGUCUAGAGUGCUGAUUUACAUUUCUUGUAAGUCGGAAGAUUUAGAAUCCAAAAUGCAGCUUAAGUCCCGAGGAAGAACUUUUUUUCUAACUAUCGAUGAAGUAAUGCAUUACUUAAUGAGUUGUUUGUGCAUUGAUAUUUUGAUGUUAUAAACUUAUAAAACUUCUUCAUUGGAUUUCUUACUUGAAAUGCUACCAUAGAUCCACUAAACUUCGCUGGUAAUGCCUCAUGUACUUCAGAAAAAUCCUGUGCUGCCUCACUGUUGAAUGCUUAUUCGGAUUAAAGUUUAAUUGACUGAUCUUGUGGGAACAUCCUUCGGUAUCCUCUGGUAAGGAGUUUUUUCUAGUAACUAUAAUUUUCUGACCAUUAGGUCUGAGGAGUAGAUUAAUGAUUUUGAGAUGAGUUUUCUGAUCUACAGCGUUAGCUAAUGAUAAUUUUGAUAACUUGCUCUAUAAUUUGUACAACUUUUCCCUUUUUUUUUUUUUUUUUUUUUUUUUUUUUUUUGUUGAGAGGGAGAGAGAGAGAAAGAUGGUAAGCUAUCCUGCUUCGUUUACUUCUUUAGAAACUUUGCUGAUAAUGUGAAGUAAUUAGCUUUCAAACAUGAGACCUCAGACACUGACCAUCAAAUCCUUUAUCACCUGCGCCAUGAACAUUCAAUUAUAGUUUGUAUGCUUGAUUUUGGUAUUUGUUCAUUACUUGGUAAACUAAAGGGGGCAAUGUCUGAUUCCCUGAUAAGGGUUGAGGGUUGUAACAUUUGAGUUCUUCCAUUUGAAGCCGACUUGAAAUAAUAGUGGUGGACCGCUGAGGGUGGUGGUCAGAUAGGAAAAACAUGAUUACGCGUGUUCUUUAGGGAUUGUAAAAUUUCUCAUCAAAUUCAUCAGGCCACUUUCCAUAGUAGUCCAUAAAUUGGAUUUUUGUAGGUGGUCGUUGUACCAUGUAGCAAGUCGGUUCCUCUACUUUUUUUUAAUCUGCAUCAACGUUUAUGUAUAUUUUUAUAUUUUACUUUGGUCGGGACACAUUAAAAAGAAAAUUAGACUUCUAUUAUAAACUGAUAUUUAACCGUAUUUGAAGAAAAUUGAAAUAAGUGAAUCAUAUACGAUAGGAACGUAAAAUGAUCAUUUUGUUAGAAAAAUUAUUUUUUGUUUCUGACGUUCAGUGGUUAGGGACUAGUUGUCUACUAUGCAGCAGUUAUACAACAUUAUCUAUAUUCAGUCAAUUAUCUAUAUUUUAUUAUUCUUUAAGAGAAAAAUAUAAUGAACAUAUUCUUCUAAAAAUUAUGAUGAGAUGGAUGAAUGUUAGGAAAGUUAUUUGAUUUAUUGGGGACACCACAUUAAUAAUAUAACUGCUGUAUUUUAAACUUUUUUGUCGUAUGGUGAUAAUAAGUGGACUAUACUUGCUCUUACUCAGCAAUGCUAGAUUUGCAAUACAUUUUGAGUUGUAGAGACCAUUCAAGAACUAGUUUUUUUUUUUAUUUAUCAUCAAUUAUUUUUAGUGCAAAAAUUUAUUUUGAAUAUUUUAAAUCUCAAGGAGAGGGAUUACAACCGGUGGACGACGAGGGUUGUUUACUUAUCAUUUCUCUUCUUACCUUUUUGAUUUUUUUUAUUUUGCAAUUUUUUUCUAUGGGAAGGAAUGUUAUUGUUUGGAACUCUAGGCUCUAUUUCUUUCCAAUUCGCGUAAAAAAUAUAUAGUGGUUGGUAGUUAAGUAGCGUGAUCAAAUACAUAGGUGAAAUAUGUUAUUUUAACAAAUUAUAAAUAUCAAAUAUUUUUAGGAUUCAAAAUCAAGCUAACUGAAAAUUAAAAUAAAAAAGAAAGAAAGAUCAUAUCUCUUUUCUUUCACACUUCAUUAAAUCUCUCUCUCUACCAUCAAUCCACUUCUACUAAUUUUUCUCCCAAGUCACCAUUUCUUUAGAUCAACGAACCAUCUCAUUCUUCUUUUGCACUUUUUAACCCUCUCUCCACUUUUCUCCCCCGCUUCUCCACCAUUUUCUUCAUCUAACUCUCACUUUGCUAUUAUCCUAUCUACUAAACAACUCAGAUAGAGAGGUGGGUUUGGGUUCUCUCUCUCUCUCUCUCCCUCUCUCUCUCUCUUACACUCCCCCUCUCUCUUUUACAGUCAAGGCACUUCCUAUAUUGAGCUUUCUAUGCACACCAGACUACCUCAUGGAGAUCGUUUCAUCCACCACCACGCCCCUCAUUGUUGAUUGAUGAGAGGUAAUUAACCGCUCACCGCAAUUCCUACGUCGUCACUGACUACCGCUGUCAGGCCAUCGUUGAUCUCGGAGUGGUGCAGCGCUUCCAUUGCUGUUGUCGCCAUUUACCGAGGACAAGUGGGCGCCCAUCAUUGACCAAUUAAGGAGGUGGUCACCUGCCUGCUGUUGCUGCGUCAAUGAUCGUGACGACUAUCUGCUGGCACUUCCUCAUUGGCGGUAGCGGAGGCCACCACUGCCGACGACCGCCAUUGCUGGCGCUUAGCCGUGGGUGGUAGAGGAGACUGACAACGAGGAUGGCCAUCAACUUAGUGCUUCGCCGUCAGUAGUCGAGGAGGACUACGACGACAAUCAUCUGCUUCGCGCUUUGCUGUCGGCGGUAGGGAAGAACGGUGAUGACGACCAUCCACUUGGCGCUUCGCCUUUGGCAGUAAAGAAGGCCACCGGCACCGACGACAAUCUGCCUGGCACAUAACUGUCGGCAGUUGAGAAGGGCGACGGCAACAACCAUCCACUUGAUGCUUAACCAUAAGUGGAAAGCGCUAAUCAAAUUAUUGAUUGCCAUCCUUUUCAAUUGGCUUUUUGUCAAAGACAACUCAUGCGCGGUGUAUAGUUUAUAUGUGUAUGCUGAGUGUUAGACAAUGCCAAAAAAAAGUUUGUGCAUAGGACAUUGCUCAUGUGCCUGCGCCAAGUGAUUAGCAAAAUGCCAAAGACAGAAUUUUGCAUAACCUAAUGCCAGAGAUAAUGUUAUCAUUAUACAUUGCUCAUGCGUGCCUACCAAAUGCUCGAUGAAAUGCCAAAGAUCCGUGAUUCAAAUACGCAUAUCAAAUGAUUGGUGGAUUGUCCGAAUUCACUUGUGCAUAAGCAAGGCUCAGCAAAAUAUCAAACUCCACUUGUGCAUGAUGUAUAGUUUGUGUGCACGUGCCAAGUGUUCGACGAAAUGCUAAGGAAGGUUUAUACAUGAUGAAUAUAGCUCAUGUAUGCAGUAAUUGUUUGAAGAAAUAUCUUGACAGAAUACUAAUCAUAUGUUCGCGAUUGGUUGUAUUAAUUGGUUGCAUUAACAGAAAGAGGGAAAGAUAUGAUGAGUGUUGUUUUUUUUUUAGUUAUAUUUAUUUUUGUAUACUAAUAUACAAGAAUAAUGAAAAUUAAAAAAAUAUAUUUAUUUUUGUUAAUAAUUAUAAUUGAUCAGCUUAAUCGGAGGAAGCUUAAAGAUAAAUAGGUAUAAUUAAUUAGAAAUCUUAUGAUUGUUAAGAAGUAUAAAACUCUUAAUCUUAGGUAUAAUAUUCAAAAUCGUGCACACUUGAAAUUUUUAAUACUUAUGCAGGACUUGUAAUUUUUAGUUAGACUAGAAAAUGGACUUGCAAUGCAUGUACCACACAGUUAAAAGAGCAAAACUUUUACGUACCAGGUCAAAAAAAAUUUACUUAAUUAGAAUCCAACAAAUUCUUAAAUCCAAAAUUCUAACCCUAAAUUAAUAACAUCUCAAACUUUAAACCUAGUCAUAGAAUCGUCGAGUGGCGGGUGAUGGCAUUGUCAAUCUACUCCUUGCUGGUUGGGGAUCCCUUGGCGGAGACUAGGGGUGGAAACGAGCCGAGCUCGAGCGAGCUUACCUCGGCUCAAAUUCGGCUUGAAAUUAAUUUCGAGCUUAAAUUUAAGCUCAAGCUUGGAUUGAAAUUAAUUCGAGCCGAGCUCGAGCGAGCUUAAUUUCGAGUCGAGCGAGCUCGAGGCCUAAACGAGCCGCUUGAAAUUCUCAACAUCAUACAAUCAAUAGUUUAAUUUCUAUAGAACAUUAUCUAUAAUUUGAUACAAAAAUAUGUCUAAUAGUUUAAAGUACAAAAUAAUUAUAUAGAAUAUAGUAUUAUAAUAUGAAAAAAAUAAUUUAUGAGUUGAAUAUCUAAUCUUUUCAGCCUCACAUGUUUUUUCUUCCGUCUUCAAUCUCCAUAUUAUUCAUUUUCAUUUAUGCAGUCAAAAAUAAAUAAAUUAUAUAAAUAAAUAUUGGAUUAAACUAUCCAAUCAUAUAUAACAAAAUUAAAAUUUUAUAUGAAUAAUAAUUUUUUACUUUAAAAAUAUUAUGUAUAUUUUAUCAAGCAUACAAUUAAUAGCAAGGUAGGCAACAGCAGGCAUAUGCUGUUACUUGGUAACUUGGAAGGCUUCCAGCUUGGCCGCUUAGGUUGAUCUAAGAAUCAAAAAAUCGAAACCACCAUAUCCUCUAUACUUUCGACAGUAUAGUAGCUCUACUAUAUAUAUAUAUAUAAUUAGGCUGGAAUACUAUUAAUAGUAAAACACUCUUUUUGCUAUCAAGUUUUUAACCCUCGGAUAAAAAAUUGUAGGGUCAGGAUGAUGUUAGUCGGUUAGAGUUGAGUGGUCCCCCUAGGGUUGAGUGGUUCCCACUGGGUUAUAAUAUUUAAUCCAAUGGUUAGAAAUAAUGAAAAGAGUUGAUCCAAAGACUAAAAAACUGGUAGCAACAAUGAGAUUUUGCUACUAAUAGUAGCCCAGUUCAACUCUCUCUCUCUCUCUCUCUCUCUCUCUCUCUCUCUCUCUCUCUCUCUCUAUAUAUAUAUAUAUAUAUAUAUUCGAGCUUUUUGAGCUUUUCGAGCCUAAUUCGAACGAGCCGAGUAAUACUCAAGCUCGGCUUGAAAUUAAUUUCAAGCCUUUUUUUUUUUGUUCAAGCUCGGCUCAUUUAAUUUCAAGUCGAGCUUGAGCGAGCCAAAUAUCGAGUCAAACGCGAGUCGAACGCCAGCCGGCUCGCUCAUUUGCCAGCCCUAGCGGAGACCCCUCGGGUCAGGACCUCUUCUGCAACAUCUACAACGACGGAGGAGGAACAUAUAUAUAUAUAUAUAUAUAGAGUUGAGCUAGAAUACUAUCGGUAGUAAACGAGCCAUUUUACUACCGAUUUGUUUUCGAUGAUAGAGCUUCCAAAUUGACGAUCGGCUCCGUUAAAUAUGAUCUAAAUCAUUUAAACUACCUAGAAAUCAAAUAUCACGCACUUUCGAUAUUGUUCUUUUAUCCAUCAAGUGAACAGAAAAAUGAAUGGCUAAAAAUGAAUACUCUUUAAAAAAUAAUGAUAGGAGUCUUGUAAUCAAGAUCAAGAGUAUAGAUCUUGUUUUAAAUAGUUUAAAGAAUUUUCUAACAAAAAUUCAAUUGAUUUGGAUAUCUUUACGUCGUUAAAUGAGAAAACGCCUCUUAUCGAUCUUUAAAAUUAUAAAUUUUGAAACCCUUUGAUCAUUAGGCAAAUGAUGUCGAAAAGAUUUGAAAUUUGAUUUCUAAACACUUCAAGUGGUAUAGAUCAUAUUCAACGGAGCCGAUCGUCAAUUUGGAAGCUUUAUUAUCGAAAACAAAUCGGUAGUAUAAUGACUCGUUUACUAUCGACUCGUAUUCUAGCUCAACUCUCUCUCUCUCUCUCUCUCUCUCUCUAUAUAUAUAUAUAUAUAUAUAUAUUAGUAAUUCAUAUAUGUCGUAAAUGGAAAUUUUAGUAAUUCAUAUAAACAAUAUUUUUAAUUUGUGCAUUAAUUAGUUCAAAAUAUGCCCUCAAUUUCGCAUUCAAAUUUUUUGGCCUCAAUGGACAUUUAAAAUCCUCCCAAUUUAUAUCAACACAAAAUUUGGAUUUUUCGGGUCGAAUUUGCAUCGGGCCGGGCCACACCCACUUGGAUUUGUUGGGCUUUAGUUGGGUUGAUAUUAAAUUAUCCAAUUACAUCCUUGUAUAGUGUUUUUUGAAUUUCCAAACUCAUGUAAAUAUAUCAAUAAAUCACAUUGCUCAAGUAGGUUUUCUAAUGUUAAGUUCAUUGAUGAAAAGCAAACAUGGAUGAUGCUAAAAAUCAAUAAUUCUUUUAGCAGAAAUGUUGGUUUCAAAAAUUUUCAGUCACCUGAAAAAAAAAAAAAAUUUAAUCGGCGAAAUGAAUAAUCUUAUCAAACAAUAAACUUUUGAAUUCGCACUUUCAGAGACUUGUUGUAGGCAUAUAACGUAAUAACACGCUAGGAGCCCGACGUAACUCGAACUCUGGACAUCCUGCUUUUAUAUAUACCAUGUGAAACAAUCGCUGUACUCUAAAAGUUUAAGCUAUUACAGAAUGAUAUUUUAAUAUUUUUAUGUUUAACAAUACGCAAAAUUUAUGUUGAAACUUGAAAGAGAGAAAAAAAAGCAAAACAAAAUUCUCAUUUCACAUGAUUCUCUCUUUCCUUUCCUUUUUCUUUUAAAAAAAGAAAUAAUAAGUGCAGGUACAUGACCUCUCAAUUCUGUCUCUUUAGGCUUUCUUUGUUGUACUUGAUUUGUGGGGCACAAACAAGAUCUCUUACACAGCUGGCUCUAAUUCAGAUCCUUUUUUUUUUUUUUUUUUUUUUUUUGAGCUUUCCCCAAAAGCAGAAGCCCACAAAAUAACCCAAUUAUUAUUCAAAAAAUUGAAGCACAAAGCAUAUACCUUUCAAUCUCUGUCAACUUUACAGUUGUAGAAGGCCAUGGCUAAGGGCCCAAAAGGACACCAAUCCAAAACAAGAAAUUAUUGCUUGGACUUGGUCCACCACAUCAUCCGUGGACCGACCAGUUAAAAGACGGCAAGUGGAGUUGAAGAGAGAUAGAUCCCUGUGUUUCUAAAUAGGUAAAAACAUGUAAAACUUAUCUGAACUAUAGACCAUUUGGAGUCGACUAUUCAAUCUUGCAAAAUUUUAAUUUUAUUAUUACCUAGUCUUUUAAUUUAUUGGAUUUGUGUCAGUCGACGGUGCUUUAACUUUAAAAUGUAAGCUAAUACUUGCUUUAAUAAGUUUACAGUUGUGCGAAUUAUAUGAGAUUUACUAACUAAAUCUGUAAAGAUGAGUGAUGCGUUCAGAUUUUUAAGUCGAAGUGUCGUCGACUAAUUCAAUCAAAUAACAUUGAAAAGUGCGAUAGAGGUUGGAUAGCUAAAACCAAAACGGUCCAUAGUUCCGAUAAAUUUUAUAAAUUUUUUACUUUUUUAAUAUAUAUCUAAAUUCAAUCGACUAAGCAACAUUUUGGUAGCUAAACUCUUUCUGGCCAGAGUUAUCACUAAAUAUAAUUAACAUAUAUAUUCUGACACAUCCAAACAACACCCGAGUAAAUAAAAAUAUGUAAUACUGAAUAGAAUAUUUAUGCAUUCAAACGAGUUAUUGGCUACUAAGAAAUUUUGAGUGUAGGUAAUCUUGAUCUACAUACUAGGUCCAUGGAUAUUUUUGUCCAAGCAAAAAUUAAGCAAAAAUAAUGAGGAAAAAACCAAAUAAGAAGCAUGACAUGUAUAUAAAAAGGUGUAUUCUCUCAUGAUUAUUUCUUAUAUGAUGAUAUUUUUGUGACACACAGCUCAUUUGAUUUGGAGUCUAAUAAGGUGUUGGUAUGGUGCAUGCAAAGUAAGAAAUUCUUGGUUAAAAUGCACUGAGACCCCUUCAACUAUUUUACAUUUUGAGACAGGCCCUAAUUUUCUAAUCAACUUUGUUAAAAUAACUAAGGCUUCGUUUGGUAUCCGUUUGUUUUUUUUUUUUAUUUUUUUAAAUAAAAAUUUAUACAUCAAAAAGUGCAAGAGUGGACAGUAAAUUGUUGUCGUAUAUAGUUGGUAGCGAAUUAACGAGCAAUAAUAAUAAAAGAAUAGUCUCUCCCUCAAUACAUCAAAUUAUACAAAAUUAGCUAGUAUUUAAAAAAUGAACUAGAAGAUAAAAUUAUGAGAUGUAGCAGUGAUAAAUUGAUUAAUUGCAACUGUAGAUAUAUAUAUAUAUAUAUAUAUAGAGUGAGGCUACUAUGUCUAUCGGAAGGCACGGAGCCUUCCGUGCUUCCAGCUCUUUUCGAUGUUCGAUUUUCGAAUUGUCGAUCGGCUCCGUUAAACUUGAUCUAGAGUAUUUUGAGUACCUAGAAAAUAAAUUUUAUUAUUUUUCGAUAUCAUUUGCUAGUGAUCGAAUGGCUCAAAAUCAACAAAUUUCAAUGGCCGUAGUGAGCCCUUUGCAAGUUUACGCGUGUAGAAUAUCCAAAUCACGUGAAAUUUUGAUAGAAAAUUCUUUAUACUAUAUAAAAAAAUAUCAAUAUCUUUGAUUUAAAUUUUAAUGCCAUAUUAUUACAUUUUGUAAGAUUUUUAUUUUCAGCGCGUUGAUUUUGAGCCCCUUCGUUCACUAGGCAAAUGAUAUCGUAAAAUCAUAAAUUUAUUUCUAGUACUUCAAAUACUCUAGAUCAAGUUUAACGGAGCCGAUCGACUGAUUCGAAAGUCGCAACAUCGAAAACUAGCUGGAAGCACGGAAGGCUCCAUGCUUCGAUGGCAAGUAGCCUCACUCUAUAUAUAUAUAUAAUUAUUAUAAUAUAUAUAUAUAUAUAUAUAUAUAUAUAUAUAUAUAUAUAUAUAUAUGGUCAAUGCUUCAAAAAAAAAAAACAUCUAUAUUUGGUGGAUUUGGUGAAUUAGUCCAACUAAACAUUAUGGCAUGGCCUAUAGUCCAUGCAAAAAAAAAAAAAAUCCAAGCAAUGAUAAUAAUUUAGUAAAAAUCUAAACUAUGAUCUCUCAUCUCUUUUCAAAAGCCCAAAAAAAAAAAAAGGAUUAAAAAAGGACAUAGAAAGGAUAUAUAUAAUAGAAAACAAUGUCUUGCAUAAGUGCAGUAUAUUGAUAGCUGUGUAUUAAUAAGCCCUUCAAUAAUAGAAUUUUCACCAAUCAAAAGUAGAAAUUGCGAAUUUGAGCGUAGAUUUGAAGCUUUAUUUGAUUUUAGUCAAGAGUUUUGUUUCUGCUUCUCGUGUAGAGACUUGCCUACAAGUUUAGACCAAAUAUUUGAUAUAUAUACAUUGAAUGAAUGCAAUCUCAUUAGCAAAUUAAGUAGGAAAUAUAUUAUAUAUAUAUAUAUAUAUAUAUAAUAAUAUAUAUAUAUUAUAUAUAUAUAAUAAUAAUAUAUAGUAUAUAUACGAGUGCGGCAGAAUGCUUAUGGAAGCACGGAGGCUUCCGUGCUUCCACUUUUUUCGAUGUUCGACUUUUCGAAUCGACGAUCAGCUCGUUAGACUUGAUCUAAGUAUUUGAAAUAUCUAGAAAUAAAUUUUGUGAUUUUUCGAUAUCAUUUGCCUAAGUGAUCGAAGUGGCUCAAAUCAACAGGCCUGAAAAUAAAAAUCUUACAAAAAUAUGAUGAUAUGACAUUAAAAUUUAGAUCAAAGUUAUUGAUCUGUUUUAUAUGGUAUAAAGAAUUUUUUUUAUCAAAUUUCAUGUGAUUUGGAUAUUUUCUACACCGUUAAACUUGCAACCGGCUCACCACGACCAUAAAAUUAUUAUUUUGAACCCCUUCGAUCACUAGACAAAUGAUAUCGAAAAAUCACAAAAUUUAUUUUUUAGGUACUUCAAAUACUCUAGAUCAACUCUAACGGAGCGGAUCGUCGAUUCAAAAGUCGAAACAUCAAAACAACUUGAAGCACGGCGGCUCGUGGCUUCCAAUAAGCAUAACCAGUAACAUCUUCAUAUAAGUAUAUAUUAUAUACUAUAUUAGUUAGGAUCUCAUAAUUUUUUGAAAGUACGCGAGAUCUCUAUCUUUAAGUUAUUUUUGAUAAUGGUAGUAUCCGACUUCAGUGAUCGACUCCGUUAUGAUUAUGAAUUAUGCUAUUGAAUUAUUUAGAAACCAAAUUUCAUAGUUUUUUGACUUUAUUUGUCUAUUGAACGAGUAGGCUCAAAAUGAAUGACUGAAAAUAAAAAUCUCAAAAAAAAAUAGUGAUAAAAGACUCAAAUUUCAAAUCGGAAGUAUUGCUAUUACUCUUGAUAUUCUGUAGAAUUUUGUAUUAAAGUUUCAUGUAAUUUCGAUUCUUCUACACCGUUGAACUUUCGAACGUGCCACAUUGGCUGUUAAAAUAGUUAUUUUUGAGACUCUUUGAUCACUUGGUAAAUGAUGUCGAAAAAUUAUGAAAUCUGAUUUCUAAAUAGUUCUAAUAGUGUAGAUCAUGCCUAACGGAGCCGAUCGCUGAAUCAAAUUAAUGCACCAUUAUAAAAAAUAACUUACAAGCACGGAGGUCACUAUACUUUCGAAAGUAUAGAAGACGUAUUCUAUAUAUAAAUAUAUAUAGACCAUGUGCCCACUGUAAGAAACAAAAUGUGAGUGACUAAGUAAUGACUAGGGUUUUAAAUUUAAACAUGACCUAAAAGCUACUACAUUGACCAUUAGUAGACCACAAGAGAGAGAGAGAGAGAGAGAGAGAGAGAGAGAGAGAGAGAGAGAGAGAGAGAGGGAGGGGAGGGGAGGAAAAAAAGAAAAGGAAAAAGAGAGGUAAAUGCUUAUUAAUGUAGGACUCAGGGUUCUUAGAACUCUUAAUUAUAUACAAAUGUAUUGCUUGAAAAAAAUAGUAUCAGUUCUUUCAUUUAAAUUAUUAUUUAAAAACUUUUCGAUACAGAAAUUAGUUCUUUUUUUUUUUCCUUUAUUUUUUAACAAGUCUCUAAAUCCUUCCACGCAAGCACAUAUUUUUAUGUUUGGAUUGUAACUUGAAACCUAUUGCUUCGAAUUAAGAUCGCGCAUCAACUGUUCUACCAAAGGUUAUAUAGUACAAUUAAUUAGACUAAUUAAGGAGCUCAUUUCAACUUGUCACCGUAACAUAGACUCUAGACAUUUUGUUCGCCAAAACAAUUUCUUGCUGCAUUAUGAAAUCCCAAAGCAAAUUUGUUACGACAAACGCACAAACGAUAACGAAAAUGACGGACACAAAAUAAAUAAACUACAAACAGAAAUAGAGGACCAUACAGAUUUACGUGAAAAAUUCUUUGUAGGAAAAAAUUACAGGCGAGAGAGGAGAAAACUUCACUAUUGAAAAGGAAAUACAAUGUUCGAGUACAAUCAACCACCAUCAGUCGCCUCUGGGGCAAAAACGAUAAAGAAAACUCUUAACGAGUUUCGGAUCGGAUCCGAUCCGAUCCGUACUUGUCGGCCCGAGCCCUCCGCUACCCACCACAGACAUUCAUUUUUCCUUGAUAAUUUUAAUUUCAAAUUUGAUUGCACCGCGAAACUGUCGGCGAAUCGAAAUUUCGAACUGAAGUCGAUUAUCAAUUUCGAGUCACAUCUAACAAGAUUAGCUGUUUCAGAAGCCACGCCAAACAUUAGAACAAGUGGAGGGACAAAUUAAAUUUGAAUUUUUUUUUCUUUCAAUUUUGAGGUAAAGUAUAACGACCUAACCCGCUAGCAAUAUAACUCAUUGAGCCCAAAUCAUCAGCCCAAAAUAUUUAAACUCAGUUAUUAUUACUAACAUGUAAGAUCUCAUAUAAUUCAAUCAGAGUUAUUUUAUCAUUGCGAGACUAUCGGGGUGUUACAUAAAGUAGCUAGGGGGGAGUUGAUGAUAUUGUGGGUUGGGUUGCUCCUGUGGCAAGAGAGAGAGAGAGAGAGAGAGAGUAGGGACAAACCCACAUGCAAAGGUUGGGUUGGUGAGGGCUUAGUCCCAUUCCUUUGUUCUCAAACCCACCCCCUUGCUUUGCAUAGUUUCCCUUCUUUGGCCAUGGAUCCACAAUUUAAAAGCUAGCUUAUUUACAUCAACCAACUUGUGUCUAUUAAAUAUCAAUUAUGUGCCUUUUAAUUAAUUAAUUAAUUAAUUAAUUAAUUAAUUAAUUAAUUUAGCCCCUCAUUAACUCAAAAGUAUUCCCCACCAAAAGGUUUUUCCACAAAAGUUUUUUUUUCAUUUUAUUUACUAGCUAGGCUCUAUAUAUGUGAGAUACAUAAAGAUCUAACUAAGGUAAUAUAUAUGUAAUAAUUUUAAGCUGAAAUUAAUGAUAUAAAAUGACAUAAUUUAUAUAAUUAAUUAGUGCGGCUCUUAUUAAGCUUUAAUUUGGUGGUUCCAAAUUAAAGUAUUUUUCUUAAUGUCCUAAGUUUAAUUAAGUGAUGUGCAUAUAUGAGAAGCAUUCAUGCAUGUUAUGCCUCUUACUUUAUUUUAUUUUAUCAAGCUUGUAACUAUUCAUGCACACACACUAUAUAUAUAUAUAUAUAUAUUCUUAUAGCAUGAUUCGAAUCGAAAACCAUUAGCUCAUGCUGAAGAGAUCUGCCAUUUAAUCUAGACUUUAUCUACAAGUCUUGUGCAUUAAUUUUUUAUACCAAGAGAGAGAGAGAGAUCCUCUUUGUCUAGUUUCUUUGCAGCAAAGACAAGUAAAAGACAAAAGGAGCCCAAAGAAGCAAUGACCAGAUAGCACCAUCCAACCAACUUGGAUAAAUAUAUACAUAUAGGUUGUAAUAAUAUUGGAGAGUGAUCAUAAACCUAUAAAUGGAGAGAGAGAGAGAGAGAGAGAGAGAGAGAGAGAGAGAGAGAGUUGGUCCUAGCUACAAAUUAAGUGGGCUCCAACACUCAAAUAUGUUAUGCCCCCUACCAUGUUAAAUAUUACAUAUGUUCUUCAUACUAUGUGUUAGAUGUGACUUGAAAUUUUUUCUUGCAAAAGAUUUUUCACGCAAAUCUGUAUGUUCUUUUUUAUUUUUGUUUGUGGUUUGACUAUUUCGUGUUCGCUAUUUUCAUUUUCGUUUGUGCGUUUGUCAUAACACUAUGGAUAUAAAGCAUAUUUUUAUUUUAUCAUCCUUUGGUUUAGAAAGUUAUUCUUAGCGUGGUUUUAAUUUACCGUAAAACACACUAAUAAAAAGUAAUAUUCUUUGUAAACUAAUGUAGUAUGGUAUAAUACUAUAAUAUUGCAUUUUUAUUUUUCUAUAAUUAACUUACAUUCUAUCACUUUGUAGUUUGCAAAAGGUGGGCUACCUUGUUCAAAACUAGAUCCUUGUGGUAAAAUGAAAAUAAACCCAUAGAACAAUUAAGUGUAACUUCUUAAACUAGAAGGUGACAUAAUGGAAAUGUACUGAACCACAGAGCGUCAAAUUGAAGUUUAAGAAACAAAUAGUACGUUCUACAAAAUGUUUUACAAAUUAUCACGCAGACAAAGGGUAUAUAUAUAUGAUAUUCUUUAGACGAACCCAAAUUAUCAAAUAAUUGAGUCCUUAUUUACACUAUUUUGUCCCCUAGAUCGAUCUCCUUUUGAAAUGUGUUAGGCCCUGCUAGUACAUUGUUGAUAGAUGAAACCAAUUUGAGAAAAUCAGAUGAAACUCAUUGGAUGUAACUAGGCAGGAUAGAAUUAUUUAUAUUCAAUAUAAGACCAUUAUUCUUAACAUUAUCAAUAACAAAACAUGCCAUCAAAUGGAAUUAUUUUCAUUGAAAUGCACAUGACAAUAUUUUUAUGCAACUAGAGAUAUAAGUUUGAAUAGCUUUUGGCCUUAGAUUGUAGCUGAUUUUGAUUUGUCCUCUCACCAAAAAAGCUUUAUAACUUUUGUUUAUUACAGAUGAAAGUUCCUUUUCAAGCAAUUUAACUUGAAAAUGACUCAUGUUGAUAUUAGGGUUGGUUACAACUUUUCCAAUCUUUAUGAUCAUGUCCUUAAAAUUUGUUCCACAUAUAUAUAUAUAUAUAUAUGUCAUCUCAAAUCUCAAAUUAAAAUUAAGUCAUUGAGUUUGAUGUAAAACUCAUCUCAAUUAGCUAGUAACUAUAAGUUAUGCUAAUUUACAUUGUUUCGGAAAUUUAUGACUUAUUUGAAGGGCAUAAUUGCUAUACAGAAAAACUUAAUUAGGGGAUGCUUGGUUCUUCUAAAAAUCCUAAAAAAAUAUAUUUUUUUGGGACAAAAAGUUGUCCAUGAAAAAAAAAAACUCUUUCCAUACUUUUCAUUUUUCCAGAUAAAAAAUUUGAAAAACUAAAAGGGGACUUUUUAUAAAAUAUGGAAAUUGUUUUUUCCGGAAUAUUACUGUUCUUGGAAACCAAACAGGCUAAAAAUACUUUUUCAUCCAGAAAAUCAUUUUCCAGAUUAUGUUUUUUUUUCUAAGAAACCAAACAACCCCUUAUAGACUAAUUACUUGUUUAAAUUAUAUCUCUAAGAAUGAUGUAGUUGAGAUAAUAUCUUAAUUAAGCAAUAAUUUUCUUAUUAAUCAUUAAAUAUACUAUAUAUGGAAAAGGUUGAUAAAUAAAAUAUACAAGUGCAUGAUCCAAACUUUUCUAAAGCUAGCUCUUCUAAAGCCUUCAAAAACACUCUAAUUUUAUGUACCAAGUUCACUCAAUUUGCACCAUGAUGUAUAAGGUACAAAGUCUCUUGAAGAUAACUAGGUCCCAAUAUCUCUUCAAAAAAAAAAAGAAAAACAAAAGAAAAGAAAAGGAAAAUAAAAGAAAAGCAAAAAGAGGGUGAGAGUAGGUCCCAAUAAAGGCUCUAAUUGAAAGAGAGAGCUCAUAAAGAAACAAAUUAUUGCUUGUAUGUAGUGUAUCUAUACAUUUUGCGUAUCGCUUUUAAUUUGUUGGCUAGUUAUUUUACCACAUACCACAUAUAUAUAUACUUUUGUAAUGUAUGUAUCUAAUUUUUAAACAGAAAGAAGAGUAUAGUAGUUAUAUAGUUAGGUUUAAUUUAGAUGCGUAUUUGAAUACUACAAGGCUUAUAAUACAAGAAAGCGAACGUGUACGGAAUAUAUAGAUGCACCAGAUAUAAGCAAUAAUUUUUAUAAUAAUGAAGGGCCUCUAUAGUGGAUGUUGUGUGUAUUGAUUGACCCUUUUGGUUUAAAGCACUAUCAAAAUUUUACCUAAUAUUUCUCUCUCUCUCUCUCUCUCUCUCUCUCUCUCUCUCUCUCUUCCCCUCUUGAGUGCACCAAUGGCUAAAACCCUCCUACUUUUUCCACAAAAAAAGAAAAUUGCUUUAAUAAUCACAAAGAUAUCUAAAAAAUUGUUGAUACGCUAGUAAAUUCAUCAUACGAUGUUCUAAUUUAUGUAUGUGAAUUGAUAAAAUGCAUGAAUUUUAAUUUCUUAGUCUUAAGUGCAGAAAAUUUUCUCUAUUAAAUAUGUGGCAUCUGCAACAAUCUAAAAACUGCUUAAAAAUAUUAUUUGACGUAAUGUACUGCAAUAAUGGCAACUUGAUAAGUCAGCAUUGUUGAAUUAUCUGAAAAAGUCAUUAGAUGGUUCGCCAUUUAUCGACUAGAGUGCAAAAAUUUUCUGCACCGCAAUUAGAAUAGAACUAGCGUCUUGCGAUCAAAAUCCUUCUGUUUAUUUAUAUUACUAUAUCAAUAAUAAAUAAAAUUUACAUUUUAGUGAAAAUUUUGCAAUAUUUAUUAACCAAACCAAAACAACAGGCAAGGGAACAAUGGGCAGUAGCAUUAAAUGCAUGUUUCCUAUUUUGACCAAAUGAUUGGAUAAGAAGGGUGUAGGGCCCUUCCCUCAACCCCAUUUUAUCUCAUUACUAAUUUGAUUUUUCUAUUUAAUAAUGUGGUCCAUGCAAUAAUGCUUAAAACAACUAAAAUUUACUAGAAGGUAAAGAUUAAUAUGUUCAACGCGAUCUAAGCAUCAUUUAUGGUGAUCGGGUAUCUGAAUUUACAAUUGACACUGUUCAAUACGAUAUAACCAUUUUAAACUUUAGAAAAACUGAAUUUCAUAAUUUUACGAUAUUACUUACCUAGUAAUCCAGCGGUCACAAAUACACCUUAGAACCACUUGACUAUAGACGUUGAAAUAUUAUAAAAUUUAAUUUCUAUGAAGUUUAAAUCGCUCAAAUCAUAUUCACUGAUGCUAAUUGUCAAUUCGAAUUAAUGUCCCAUUAGUAAAAUGACAGGCAUAGAAAUAAUCUUGUUUAUUUUUGAAAAUAUUCUAAGUUGACUAAAAGAAAUUAAAUUUUACAAAACUUUCUCCUCCAUCACACUCUACAAUAUUUUCUUUUGUUUAUUCAUUAUGAUUUUGGUCAUUGGUAUGCAUUUUGAUUGUUUUGGUUACAUUUUCUUUGUUGUUUCAAUUCAAUUCCAAAUUACUCUAGAUCGAGAAGAGAAGCUUCUGCGCGCGAGGAUAUAACUCUCUCGCUAUAAUAGACAUUGUGAUGAUGCAGUGAGUGCUAAAUCUUUUUUUUUUUUUUUAGAGAGAUAGAUAGCACGCUACCCGCUUCGUUUAUUUCAUUUAGAAAUAAACUUAGCUGGAAAUGUGAAUCAACUAGGAUUCGAACUUGGGACCUCAGGUGCCAACCAUCAAGCUCUUUGCCACUUGCUUUAGGGACGGUCGGUGUGAGUGCUAAAUCUAUUAAAACAAUAAUUGACUUGCUUAAAAAGAAAACUUUAAGGGAUUUAGUAGGCGAAAAAAAGAAAGCACAGAAAAAGAAGAGAGCAAACUAAAUAAAAUUUGACAAAAAUUGAUGAAAUUUUUAUUAGAAGGGUAUUUUCGUAAAGUAUCACAAAUUUAAAAGAAUAUACAUAUAAUUUAAAAUUUGGAGGAACAUAUAAGUUAUUUUUAAACUGGAGAAGGAUACAUAAAUAUUUAACCUUUUAUAUAAAAGAAUGGAUAAUUGUGUAUAUAUCCUUCAAAACUUCAGAAAUAUCUGAUUUAUCCUUACUUUUUUUUUUUCUUUCCAAUAUAUUCUUCAUAUAUUCCUCCGUUACUCCAAAUACUUUCUCAGUUAUCAUCCGUUAAGUUAACUUGCAUUAAACGUGAGUUAAAAAAAAAUAAAAUUACUCUUUUGCCCUCAACUUAAAAGCAAAUAAGAAAUGUUGGUGAUGUUAGAAGGAUAUAUUUGAGAAAACCAAAAAUUAAAAUAUUUUUUGUACCCUUAACUUAAAGGCAAAUAAGAAAAAUUGUUGAAGUGUUUAUUUGAAAGGGUAAAAUAAUAAUUUAAUACAGAUAACAGCUAUUGCUAAUCGUUCAUUAAUCGAAUUUAAUUCUAGGGGUAUAUUUGAAAUAGGUUGGAAUUAACGUAAAAAGUGUAUUUUCAAUAUUAGCCUUUUAAGAAGAGUAAAUUAGAAAGUCGAAAAACUUUUUAGAAGUAUAUUGCAAAAAAAAAAAAAAAAAAGUAUUCCACAUUUUUUAGCCCUAGAUUAAAUUUUUAAAAUUUUUUUUUAAUUCUCUAUUAGUGGUUGGAUCUCCUAUGAGACAGUCCCACGUGUCAGUCCUGUCAGGGUGGGGCCCCUGAUUGGAUUGGAUGAUGGAAAAAAAAAAAAGCAGGAGAAAAGGAUCUCCCUUAUCCACUAUGCAACUAUUGGGACAGCUGUCACCAUAUCAUUUACUUUUACACUCUCUCCUCUCUCCUCUCUCUUUCUCUCUCUCUCUCAACCAACCCCUAUAUAUGUUAUAUGAUCACUAUUACAUGUAGAUUCACACAUCUCACUAUUGAACAAACUAAAAACUAGUAGAGAGAGAGAGAGAGAGAGAGAUAAAUUGAGAAGAGGCAAAAGAUACAACAAGGAGCUCAAUUUCUCUCCCUAGAGCUUAGAAAUGGCACAAUGCAUCCCUACUCGAGCGUCGACGAAUCCCUCCGUGUUAGAGAGACAAAGAGUGCGCCUUAAUUGGCAGCAGCAGCAAUCGACUGACAACACUGACUGCAUUGGUUACAACAAUAUUGAGAGUUUCGCUCCCCUCUCGUCUUUUGAUCAAUUGCCCAAGAAUUUUGUCGAUGGCGAGAGAUCUAGAAAUGAAAGUUUUGGUCAUGUUCAUGACCCGAUCGAAAGCCUCGGCGACGGGUGGCCGGAUUUUUCUAUGGUGAAUUAUCCAAACUUUUGCGCGAUCAAUGUCGGAGAAAAGGCAAAUGAUAAAGAGAAUAGCGAUAGCUCAAAGAAGAGAAAGUUCGGGAAUUUUUCGAAUUCACAGGUAAUUAGCAUUUUCUCCAAAACUACUUGAUCACAAUUUACAUGCUAUUUGUGUUUUCGCUUUGAUAUUCAACUUAUAUAAGGCUAAAAAGCUCAUCACAUGUAAACCUAGCUAGAGAAGCUUGGAAAAAUAUUUAAAGGCAAUAAUUUGUUAAAAUUUGUUGAUAGCAAAGGCACCUUCUUUAAUUUAUAAGCGUAAAAUCAUACAAAAUGUCGAUAAUUGAAACUAGCGUGUUAAAUUUAGAAAUUUUUCGAAAUUUUCUCAUGAACAUUGAAGAAUUUGAAGUUGCUACACUUUGUUUACAUUUGAAUCAAGAGAUGAAAAUUUUCUUUCUUUUACUAGCAGGUGGAUGCUAACAAUGCAACAGAGAACAGUGGCAGCUCAAAGGGAAUGAAAGAAGAUUAUGUAUUAGGAGAGAGAAAGGGCGCAACCGGAAACCAAAAGCCUCAAAACAAGAAGGAAACAUCAACAGAAACCUUGAAGGAGAAUGGGAAGGCAUCCAGAUCGUCGACUACGACUACGCCGCUGAAGACCGACUACAUUCAUGUUAGGGCUCGCCGUGGCCAAGCCACUGAUAGCCAUAGCCUUGCUGAAAGAGUAUGCGAUCUCUCUUCCUCUCUCUCGCGUUUCCUCUUGAAAUUUAAGCUGCUCCACAAGUGUAUGUUGUCUUAAAUGGGCCAGCAUCCUACUCUAUGACGGAAGAUCAUGUUGGGCCGAGUCAUGUUUGAAAUUGCGUGAGACUGAGGUGGGCCAAGCCAUGUUCGAAGUGGCGCGAGACUGGUUGGGCCGAGUCACAAUCGAGACCCGUAGGCGCUGUAUCUAUACGCUUUAAGUGAAUUAGUUGCAUAUUUCUAACAGCUCGAGCUUUUGGGAUUAAUGGUUAGCGCCAACGAUCCGACAGUGUAACACGCCGGUUUAUAUAAAUAGAAGAAAAUUAAAUGACAGCAAAAGCUCGCAUAAACUUAACUGAAAUCAAGAUCUCGUUUUGAUACCAUACGAUCAGCCAAUUUUUUAUACAAUUUUAAAUAACUAGAAAAUGGUGUUUUAGAUUUCACUCUCUCUUAUAUACACACACACACACUCUCAAAACAAACGUUUUGCUCUAGCUAGUAGCUUAAGCUUCUCCACAGGAGUGGUACAUGAUUUGAAUAAAUGGGGCCAGGGAAAAUAAAUUGAGAGUGAAAGCUUAAAAAAACUUCAAUUGAUGAUCUCAUGCUCUGACACCAUAUGAAACAAUCAAUUUUCUCUAAAAGCUUAGAUGUUAAAGAAUGUGUUUUAAUGUUCCAUGCUCAAAACAUCUCUCUCUCUCUCUCUCUCUCUCUCUCUCUCUCUCUCUAGCUCUAAAAGUU